RNAcentral lists this long non-coding RNA (55908 nucleotides) under Coffea arabica (coffee). RNAcentral describes it as "long non-coding RNA (CARA_LNC005540)". Lineage: Eukaryota; Viridiplantae; Streptophyta; Magnoliopsida; Gentianales; Rubiaceae. The record is from RNAcentral.
GGAAGACCAAAGGGUGGAAGAACAAGUCAAAGGGGACGUAAGUUAAAUGAAGGGAUAUUUCAUUUUCCACAUUUUUUAAUAUAAGAUAGUUUUUUUUUUUAAUGCCAUAAAAGUGGUGUCAAGGCAUCUACUAGUUCGUAAACAUGUUCCAACUUCCAAGCAAGUCAAGUGCCAUAAAGGACUUCGGUAUGAAGGCGAAGAAAUUAUUGGAUGAUUGGGAAGUGGAUGGGACAUUUGAGAAGAUGAGUUGGAGAUCCAAAUAUCAAGGCUAGUGGGCAUUUGUUUUUGCCCUUUUUUUCCUUCUUGUUUUGGUGGCAACUUUCCACCCAUGAGAACAAUCUCAGGACGUGCAUUUGGAUAAUGUACGUCGGUUUCUGCUUUGACCAUUCUUAAUAGAGAUUCUAAAUACAUAUUCUUUGACAAGUUUUAAGCAAUUCCUACCAAUUUUUAAUGGAUAAUAACAAAAAAAAAAAUCCCUUGUGAUAAACUUACUAUACAGAAAAACUCCUCAUAAUUUCAAAACGUAUGUUUUGAACUAAAUUAUAAAGGUAACGAAAUCCAUUAAAAUUAAUGGAAAUGAAUUAUUAGAACCUAAAAAAUUUUUUAUACCUAUUUUUUAAUAAAUAUACAUGGUCUACCCUUCAAUCCCUAAUUCUCUAACUCUAGAGAAUGAAACAAAUGAUAUUGUUGAAAUGCCUUUUGUUCAGUUAUAUCAGAGUAUUUUUGUCAUUUCGUCCGUCUCCGUUAAGUUUAACGAAUUCCGUCGCCUUUACCAUUUAGUUCAAAAUAUAAGAUGUCAAUUUGUAUAUUUUAAAAUCAUAGAGGACUUUUCUAUAUAUUAACUUUUAUCACUGGAGACUUUUUUAUUUUUCACCCACUUUUAAUACAUGGAAGGAUUAAUACAUAAAAGCAAAUUUAAAUGGGCAAAUUUGUAGUUAAUUAUAUGAGUGCCCCCGACCCCACCCCACCCCAAAUGGAGAUUGGUCAAGCAAUGAGAAACUAACGAAUUGUGUUGGAAUUUUAUGGGUAGACAUGAUCGGUUACGUUUGGACCACUGGGUGAAUGAAAAAUGCGUGGCAUUGGCUGAGGGGUCACAUUCGAUAUUUAAAAAUUCAAUGAUUCAAAUUAUGUCGCUACAAUUUAAAUUAUUAGGUAUUUAAAAACUAGAUCUAUCCAUGUUAACUAUUGAGUACUUAAAAAUCAGGUUUAUCCAAAAUUUGGCUUUGACUUGGAACCCUUUGAGAAUACGUGUUUAUUUUCUGAAGACUGAAGAAUUAUAUACAGUAAUUUCGGCUUUUAGUCAACAAAUCUGAAACAAAGUAGGAGUUUCAUUCAAAUGUGUCGGUUAAUAUAUUAAUGCUCUGAUUUCCUUUGGAAAAUGAUAUGAUAUUGUCGGAGCAUUUUUGUUUUACAAAAAAUUAAAGAAUACCUUUUGCAAGUCAAAACACAAUUCUGACUUGAUAAUGAAACGAUUGAAAAUUUAUUCAGGAAUUGUUAUGGUAUUAAAAUUUGAUCGAAAUGUGAAUUUUUUUAACUAAGAAAUGUUGUCGUUGUCAAUUAAUACCAACCUGACCAGCUACCUGGAGAAAUCAGACUAGCAAGUUGCAAGCUGCAAACAGAAACGUGUACGCUGGUCCUGACUUUUUUUUUUUUUUUUUUUUUUUUCGACACAGGGGUGUUCGGGUCAAUCCUUACUGGACCCGACUAAUCCCCUCUGCGGCGCGGACCCGACGCCCCAACUCGGCCCGAACGCGUUAAGUGUGCGGAGGAAUCCAGCGGAGCGGAGACUCGAACUUGUGACCUCAAGGUUCACUGGUGAGAGGCGCUGCCGCUGGACCAUUCACGCGGGGCAUGCUGGUCCUGACUUCAGACCGUCAUUUUUUUUUUUUUUUGGGUUGGAUCAUACAUCGGUUGCGGGAAGGGACAGGUCCAAUUAAAUCCUAUCCUGUCCUAUCCUAAUCCUAUCCUAUCCUAAGAGAAUAAAAGAGGGAAUGGAGUUAGGAACAGUACUUUCGUCCCCUAUCAACACCAUUAGUGUGUGGAUUGUUUGGUCAUUUCGUCCCCUAAUGGGUUGCACGUGUUUCUUGCUGCAAUUCGUUGAUGCUUUUUUCCUGACCAUGCUACCCUUGGAUUUCACUUUUACCCUCGAUGGAGUAAUUAGCCAAAAGAAAUAGAGCUGGCUUUAUGGUCUUUUGGUUCGGUCUAACUCUUGUAGACACGGAUUAAUUCCACUUUGUCCCCCCAAACUUUGGACGGUUAUUCACUUUAGUCCCUAAACUUUAGAAUAGGACAAGUAAAUCCCUAAACUUAUAAAUACCUCCCAAUUAAGGAAAAUUGUUAACAAAAUCCUGAAUGCCAUGGUGGUCGAAGUGUCCCAUUUUAUAAGAGUUUAGGGAUUUAAGUGUCCGAUUUUAUAAGUUUAGGGAGUUAAGUGUCCAAAUUUAUAAGUUUUAGUGACUUAAGUGUCCCAUUUUGAAGUUUAGGGACUAAAGUGAGUAAUCGUCCAAAAUUUGGGGGGACAAAGUGAAAUUAACCCUGUAGACACACCUUCUGUAUUAUCAUUUAUGACAUAGUUUGACUUCCAAUUUAGCGGUGCGGUGGAGCCUGCCUUCAAAUGAGUGAGUUUAUACUACUUAGCAUAUCUUUUUGUGUUCCUGCUACGAUUGAUAAAUUAUUUCUGCACAAUUUCUGUUUCCAAAAUAUCUGAAUCUUUUCCAUAUAGUUAUCUAUAAGGUUAAAUUAUUUUUGUUUAAACAGUCUGAAUUGUCUUCUCUAUACAAUAACAGAAGGAAACAAAAAAAAAAAAAUGGGGGUGCAACCCAAACACUGACGGUAAGUGAUGACUGCUUGUUAUCUACAACCUUGUUACCAAUGUCACUUCCCAAAUAGAAUCUCCACCACUAUCAUAGACUUUUAUGAUUUAUUUUUUGAAUUUUCUUUAUUUUCCCAUCUAUUGUUAAACUGAAUAUUCAAAAGAAGAUGAAUUAUGAUUUCAUAUUUUUGUCUUUUUUGCUUAUAAAAAUUUUGAUUUUUAAGCCUGCUUUGUAUCAAUUUUUUUUCCCUUAUAAAAAAAUUCCUCGCUCUCUUUGUGUAAUUUUUCAUGUAUUAGCUCAACGCUAAUAACAAAUAUCAUGAAGAACUACGAUGAUUAAUAUUGUUGAAUCAUAAAGUAUUAGUGUGAAAACAUCUGUAGAAAGAUUCUUAUGUAUGUAAAUAUAACAGUUUACUAUUAGCCUAGAUAAUCACUAUUUCUUUUUUAACUUUGAUGUGUUCAACUGCAGCAAUACUAUGUUUUCAAUUUAUCAUAACCCUUUUAGAAAUAUACCAAUUAUUAUAUUUGGGCAAUCUCGCGCCUCGCGCGAGGCCCAAAUUAACUAGUCUUAAGAAUCAACAUGAACUGAAUCAUCAUCGAAAUAGACAGAUGUGCUAAGCACCUGCCGGAUAUAGAAGAAAUCAUAUAUUAAAGGGUAAAAUAUCAAAAAUUCCUUGUGAUUUACUAAAUGUUUAAUUUAACUCCCUUUGAUUUAGAAAUUUACACUAUAACUCCCUGUGAUUUCACCUAAUUUGAAAAUUGGACGGAAAGUGUCCAAUCUAACCGUUAUACGUGAAAUGUCAACAUUGCUCCUGUAUAAAUGAACUCCCUAUAGUUUGUCGAAUGUUCAAUUUAACUCCUUCUAAUUUGAAAAAUUACACUAUAACUCUCUGUGAUUUUGACUAAAUUGAAAAUUGAAUAGAAAGCACCGUACACAUAAUACGAGCAAUAUUGACAUUUCACAUAUAACCGUUAGAUUGGAUGGUUUCUAUCUAAUUUUUAAUUUAGUCAACACCACAGGGAAUUAUAGCGUAGGUUUCCAAACUAGAGGGAGUUAAAUUGAACAUUUAUCAAACCAUAGGAAGUUUUUUGGUAUUUUACCCUAUAUUAAAUGAUAAUUUUUUUUUUUAUCAGACGGCAACAAUUGAUAUAGUUUACUCUUAAUCCUAUUCUAACUUACACUUUGGGAGAGCAGGGAGGGGGAAGAGGCCUAACAGGACUUAGAGAAACUGACGAUAAUUGAAUCACUAUCGAAUCACACAAAUACACUACGCAUCCGUGUAAAUUUAGAAAAAAACCAUAUAUAAUGACAUGGAAGGUAAUAUUUGAAACUAUUGGUCUUCCACCUCAUAAAAGUGGCCAACGGUCUAGCAAGCUGUUGGUUACUUCAAACCAUCACGUGAACGAGGAAAACUUCAAACUAGACAAGGCAAAUGCAAUUCUCUUUCUAUAUUUAGAAAGGGAAACUGCUAUAUGCUAAAUUUAUUGGUUUGUUAUGAAGUUUUAUCAAGUUUAACUGUCACUAAAGUGCGUUUACGUGAAAUGUGCUGCAUGCAUAAUGAUUAGACAAGUUCAUUUUCUUGAUCGGUGCUAAGCUAGAGAAAAUGGAGACUUUAAUCCAGCCAGAUCUUCAAGAAACGCAGAACAAAUGUUAAUUCAAACUUAAAUUAGCAAAGUCCUUGUGAUUCUGAUAAGUGAUUCUCGUGUGGGUAGGACAAUAGAUCCCAAUAUCCACCAGAAUUGCAUCUCUUCUAACUUGGUCUCCUAUUAAAAGAAACCACAAAGAAGAAAGAACGAAAAGCAUUCACUGCUAAUGUAUAAUUAGGCACAAAUAAAAGGAUCUAAGUUUAUCAAAAGAAUAAAAUUGAAAUUUAAAAAAAGAAACUAAAAACAACGAAAGGAUUUUUAAAAAAUCCAAAAACGAAAUACGAAAGUUAAUGAAAAAAGGUUUGCAUUUUGGGGUGAGAGAGGCUCGAACUCUCGACCUCAGGAUAACUCAGAAGCUAUGAGACCUACGCGCUAGCCAACUGCGCCACCACCCCUGUUUGUUCCUACAACUGCAGAAUCUUAUUAUAAUAUGAAAAGAGCUGUACGUUACACGUUUCAGCCGAGGGGAAAAGCAAGAGAGUAGGCAGUGAGUACACUUGGCUGCAAGCCUAUUGUUAAAGUUUGCGUUGUUGUUUGGUCGUAUUUUGAACAGUCUCCUGACUUGACAAGACCCACAACCUGAAACCCCCCAAAAAAAAAAAAGAGUUAAAAGUAAACAAAAGCUUCGGUUUUCACUGUUCACAUCCAAAGCUCGCAUAAUUUCCAAUAAAAUUUUCUACAUUUUUGUUGUUUGCUAAAGAACCCGAUUUGCUCUUAAGGCUCUCUCCCACUGCCAAUUCCAAUUUCUAGUAUUAGAAAGGGAUCCUUAACAUGGAUGAGAAUGUGUGCAGAACUUGUCUUGAAUGAGGUACUAAUUUCUUGCUUUUAGUGUUUUUUUUUUUUUGUAGAAUCUGUUUUGUGUACUAAGUAGUAGUACAAUUCAUUUAAUGAUAUCCACAAGCAAAUUUGAUACGUGUGUUUGUUUUAUCUGCGAAUUUUACUUUCUUGUUUGUGAUUUAGUUGGGAAAUGAGCAGUUGGGCGUUUUUUGCAGUCAAGGGCUUAGCUUUGCAUUCUGACAUUUCUUGAACACUUUUUGGUUGUCAAGCAAACACCUUUAUACCAGUUUUGAAGUAGAUUUCUUUAUGUUUUUUGAAUUAAGUGUAGCUUUUGCAGAGAUGAAUUUUCCCUCGUAUAAGUGGGAACCAUCAGUUUUAGUAGGAAAAAGGACACGUUUCCCCAGCUUCAGCUUGAUUUACAAAAUGAAUGGGGGAUAUUGGUUAUCUAGCAUUAUCUCUUUACUUUUCUGGAGUCCCUGACUUCUUAAAACAAACCCCUUUUCUGGUGCAAUUAAGACUCAUUCUUAUUUUCUUGGUAUGGCGAUGAAGACUUGUGUUGGAUCUAGUUCACAAAGUUUGAUGCUUUAUGAGUCUGUUUGUGGUGGCCUUGCUAAUGUCUGUUCAGUUCAUUAUGUUUCGUUUAAUGGAUCUCAGUUUUGUUAAAGGUUACAGUUAUCUUAUGAUGGUAUUAGUUUGCCUCGUCUUCUAGAUUCUGCUGCUGAACUUGUUAAAUUUAUAUUGUAUGUUUAGCUUGUACAUGUGCGAAAUGGAACUUUAUUGCAUUAGGAUUCCAUGCCUCUAGGGUGUUUGUGCGAUAGAUUUCACUGUCUUAUCCAUUAUUUGGUUUGAGUGUUAAGGUUCUUGAGUUCAAAAUUCGUGGUUGUUUAUCUUUUAUAUGGGUAGUUCAUGUUGGAUGUUUGAAGAGGUUCACAAGAUAGAAAUUUAGUUGACAUCUGUGUUGUACAUGUGACACAGAGAAGAGGAUCAAAAGUUUUUGUUUUGAAUGGAUGGGGUUCAUCCUCAUCGAUCUCUGAUGAGGCUAUUUUUUAGUGUACAAUACUUUUUCAUAUUUGGAAGUUUGUUAUGUUCAUCUGGAAUGAUUUAUGUACUUUGAAACUGCUAAGAUCCUUAAUCAAUGGUAGAAAGAAAUUGUACCCGUGCCCUUGGCUUGGUAGCACAUCAUUAUAAGGUUUUCGGUGCCCCUUUUUAUACUGUUCCAAUCACAAAUAUUUAAGAAUCUUAAACUGAAGUCAGAUAAAUAGCUGUCUAAAAGGAUGCUUGCUUCGUGGAAUUUAGUAUAGAAUGAUUUUUGGGACUUGAGAAAACUUAUGCACUGGUUGACAUAAAUAAAUAUUCCUUUCUCAUGUUCAAAGCUUGAGCUGUUUUCGUGCUUUUUAAAGCUAAUGUGUGACAGUUAAGAUAGUUUGCCCCAUUUCAGAACUAGAGGUGACAAUUUUCAAGUUUGUGCAUUCUGAAAUUCAUACCAUCUCUCAGGUCUUGGGAACUGUUAUCUUAGAUACGGCCCUCUGAUUGAUUGUUUUAGGAUGUAGUCAUUCCAUGAUGUGAAUCAUUAUGCAAUCAAUGUUUGUUCUUUACACAAAAUUACUGAAUCUACGGAUCAUUUUCCGGUAUUUACAUAAUUAUAUAUCCCAGUGUAAUUUCAUUAAAAAUAAUCAAAUAAGGAAGUUACCUUGUGGACUUGCAAUUAGCAACUAAGUACAGAUGUACAGCAAGAGCUUGUAUUGAGAAACCUAUAUUCUUAAUAUCCUUAAAAAAAAAAAAAAGAAAUUUCCACUUUUAGGUCACGUAAAGCUGCAUUUCCAUGGGAGAACCUGAAACUAUAGUUUGUACUGUCAAAGCAUUUUGUACAAAAUAUUUACUGUUAAAAUUAUUUUCAUUUUUGCAGUUUUGCAUGUAUGGAGUUGUGAAGCAACAUUGGAUAAACAUACUACUUAAGGAUUGAUGCUUUUGUGAUGUUGGGUGGAUUCUUUAAGAGGUUGUAUCAGUAGUAGCUAAUUAUUGUUUGGAAGAUCCUUACAAGCUUUUCACAGCAGAAAGCAUAAGUGGAAAAACAUACUACUUAAGGAUUGAUGCUUUUGUGAUGUUGGGUGGAUUCUUUAAGAGGUUGUAUCAGUAGUAGAUAAUUAUUGUUUGGAAGAUCCUUACAAGCUUUUCACAGCAGAAAGCAUAAGUGGAAAACUUGUAUGUUGUAACAAAGCUUUUGACCCGUUUGCUUGAGAGAUGGAUAAUGCACAGAAUGCUAAUAUGUCUGGUGGGAAUCUCUCUCUGAUAACAUCUAUUGAUCAAAAUGAUCAAGUCAGAAGCCAUCAUGAUAUUAUGAUGCGCCGUCUAAAAAAUAGGGAACGGCAACGUAGAUAUAGAGCUCGGAAACGUCUUGCAGCUGAGAGAAUGCUGACAUCCCAUCCAGUGCAGUACCUGGAAGCCGAUACAAAGAAGGCACCUGCCUCUAUGCCACUGCCCAAAGAGAUCAAGCGGAGGCGGCGGAGGAAGAAGGAAAGUAGCAUGGAUCAAUUUACUGCGACUCAAAUAGAAAUGCCUUUGCAUUACACUGAAGCUGAUUCAAAGAAGGGACCCACCUCCCUUCCCCUGCCCAAAGAGAUUAAGCGGAGGCGACGGAGGAAGAAGGAAAUUACCAUGGAUCAAUUUAUGCCGGUGCAUGUACAAAUGCCUUUGAGUGACACUCCUCAAGAGUUUGCAACUCGGGUACACAGCCGAAGAGAUUGGAAAAGAGAUGCGAGAAGGGCCCACGCAUUGAAAGAGCAAGAAGUUAGAAUUCAUGGCCCUGUUAUUCCGGUGGUAACAUCUGUUAGUGCAAGCCAAGUCCAGUCUUUUGCUUCUGCCUUCUAUCCUCCUUCAGACAGAGAAUGUCAGACACGUGGGGUUAGAGUUGACAAUGAAGCACAAAAGGUGGUGCCUAGCCGAAGACACUGGAAAGAAGAGGCCAGAAAUAGGAAAAGUCAAAAUGCUUAACAAGAAAUCAGCUGUGGGGUGGGUUUGGGUGUUGUGAAUAAUCUAGUUCUGUUUCUUUUCUGCUAAGAGUAGUAUUAGGAUAUGUAUGGGUGUUUUUUUUUUUGUAAUAUCUAACUUGUCCUUGUAGUGAAGUUUUUCAUGAUCAAGAUUUGUGUGUAAACUGUUCUCUACCUCUUCUGUCUUUUACAAGCUUAUGGUGAAGUUAUGUUAAUCUGUUAUCUGCUAGACUUUUGGUCAGUAGCUGUGCAGAACCUGAAGUUGACGGUUGUCUUUAAUGGCUGAUAGUGCGUGUAUAGAGUAUAUUUAGGAUUGGUCGAGUUUUAUCCUGACCACUUCCUACAAAACCCGACGACAUAUCUCAUCUAUUCAUCUCCAGAAACUCAAUUACAGAUUCUGUCAGCGCAAGUUCCUGAUCCUGUACUUGAGGGAUAUAGCAACUGAUCCGUCAACUGAUCCCUUGGCAGUUGCCUAAAAUUGUUAAAUUCAUUGCAAGCCGUCCUCUUGAAAAAUCGAAAGCAGCUACUGAAUAUGGUUAUCUGGCAUAAGUAGCAUUUGGUGCUAUUCCAGUAAUCGCGUUUAUAUAUUACAAUACAAUCAGGUUAUGGCCUUCAAAAUGGAAAACAGAUCCUAAGAAAGAAGAAUAUACCCAAAAGGAAAAGUUCUUGGCCUGGUACCACCCGUGCUUCAGCAUACAUGCAUGACUUGAUAGGAAUUGCCAUUUCUGCACAGAAGGUGUUAAUUGACACGGUAGCAAAUCUAUAGUUCUAUGCCUCUACUGCUACCUUUUUAAUCCACUUAUUGCAUGUUAUAGAAACACGAAAGUUGCUUUCAUACAUCUUCUACAUCAAUUGUUGACACCCAAUGAUUUUCUAUGGCUUCAAUGCAUAUAGCAGUUCAAUAUUUUGAUUGAAUAACCGCGGACAGGUUCAGUUCAUUCUUUGUUUGAAACCACUGCGAGUUGAAACACACAUGAGCAACGUUGGAUGACAUGGUUCCCCAGUCUGGCAAGCUCCUUUGGAACAUAUGCGGUGGUUUCAGUUUGGUUAAUGAAAUGAAAAUUUGAGAUUUGAUUAUCAAGCAUUUCAAGGAAUAAUGGAAAAGUCUGCUAGAUCAUUGAAUAUGAACAGAUGAAAGUCUCAAAAGAAAAGCAAGAAGAUGCUAAUCAUGCGACUACUAGAGUUACUAGCAAAUUUUACAAGAGAGAAUUUGUAGGUACCGAUAGUAACACCAAAUUCCCGACCCUGUCUGUACUAACACCGGUCAACUUUCAAUCACAGCAUCAGAUGCACCUGCUAUUUUUCUUUUCUAUGGAUAUGAAAUCUAAGAGAGAAAAUAUGAAACUGUUCAUAUUCUGGCAAAGCUCCUUUGGAACAGGUGCAGUCGGUUCAGUUCAGUUAAUGAAAUAAAAAUUUUGGAUUUGAUUAUCAAGCUUGCAAGGAAUAAUUGAAAUGUCUGCUAGAUCCAUUGAAUAUGAACAGAUGAAAAUCUGUUCAUAUUUUACAAUCAUGCAAUACAAGAAUUACUAACAUAUUUUACAAGAGAGACUUUGUAAGUACCAUAUUUCUAUAGUAACAACAACAAAUUCCCGGUCCCUGUACCAACACCGGUUAACUUUCAAUCGCAGCAAUAGAUACACCUGCUGUUUUCCUUUUCUAUGGAUAUGAAAUCCAAGAGAGGACAUAUGAAACUUUUAAUAAGAGAAAAAGGGAAAAAAAAAUGAAAAGUAGGGGAUAUUUGAAGAUGCAUGGGAAGUAGCAUCCUAGCAUACACAGCUAUCAACUAGAUAAUGCUUGCACUUAAUCUAUUUAUGAAGAUGGUAAGCAUUCACCCUUCUCACAUCCUCAAAGCUCCAAUCCCUUCUCAUCCCACUGCUCCUUACCAAUCUUGGCGUGCCCGUCUCGAAAGGUGCACUAUUGUGGAUCCUAUAUUUACCCUUAUUCGCAUUCUUUUCAGCCAUCAGAAUCGUCCCAGUUCGCACAUUGUCAUAACUAGGAGGCCUUGGCACCAGAUUUCCUGACCAGCUCCUGUCAACUGUAGGCAAAACCAUGUAGCCAUUCGGCUUUCCUUGGUACAAUCCGCUUCUCAUAUCAACAUCUGAAUCUGUCCUCUUCAUGCCUUGACAGGUCAAGCAAUUGAGAUUCAUGGUGUUAAAAAAGGAGAUCAACUGUGUGCUUUUUUUCUUUGUUUCUGUGCUAUGAUCAAUCUGAUGGCUAACCCGAGGGAAGCGGCAAAUAGGUUACCUAAUGAUUCAAGAUGUACAGUUUUUAUUUACAUGUGACUGAAGAUCUCUUGUGGGUUAGGAUGGAUGGAAAAUCCCAGGCAGAUUGGAGCUGUGAUAAUCCACAAAGAAUGGUUAAGGGAAUAGGUUGGUGCAGGCUUGGGGUGCUGCUUCCCAUUUUGGCCAUAGGCAUUGUCUUCUUGUUAAUAAGAAUUAUUCUUUGUAUUUCCCACAAGAUUAGGUCCUAGAAAAAUGGUGAACCAAUGAUCCAAUUCAUGAGAAGCAAAGAAAUCUCCAGGCUUGCAAACCCGAGAAAGCAGCAGUGCACUUGACCGUAUAUUUAAUUUGUAAAGGAUUUCUGAACUGCGUCUGUAAUAAGUCAGCAAAAAUUUGGAUCUACUAGUUUUUCAAACACUAUAAAAAAUUUUAAAAAGUACUCUAAGAGGUACUCUAAAAAGUAGUUUAAAUUUUUUUUAAUAUUCAAAAAAUAUUCCAAAAUAUAUUUUAAAAACUCUACAACUCUUAAAUAUUCCAAAAUAUUUUCUAAAAAUAUCCCAAAAUAUACUCUAAAAACUCUGCUACAGUAAAAAUUUUCAAAAAUACCCUCAAAAAUAGCUAAUUCAAACGGAGGUGUCCGAGCCAAAUGUGGUUGAUUACAUUUGAUUAAUGAUGAAUUAGAAUAGACACCAAGGUUUGAGAGAAAAUACGCACACAUUUUCCCUUCUCAAAUGAAAUCUUACAUGUUGCAACAAGGAUGGCUGCAAUAAUACAUAAUUUAUAUUCUUGAGCAACACUAAAUCAACGUACAAUAAAAAUUAUUUGAGAAAAGGCCUUGGUUGAAUUGUCAUUUUUUUUCUAAAAAAUGUUUACGUUUUCGUGAAAACAUUUUUUAAUCGUCUUUUUACGUCACACAUCAAAUUAUUACAGUAUAUUUUUUAUUCAAAAAUUUUCAAUAAGACAGCAAUCCAAACAGAAUCUUAAGUAUGCUGAAAUAAUUUAUAGAACACAAAUUGAUAAAGCAAUAGAGGCAAAGAGCUACUCUAACCCAUUACUUGCUCAAUAUUACUAGUAUUGUUCCUAGACUCGAACAAUCUUUUCACCCUAUCUGACAGAUUAAAGUCAGACGUGGGAAGAAUCAAGGACGUGGAUGGUGGAUCCCAGCUCUAGCCGUCUUCCACAGGUAUAUUAACCAAAGUCUGGAUCCCAUAUUUCCGGGCCUCAUCUGCAUGCGUACAAUCCAAGCCCGCCAGCUUCUGAGUGCCAGUAACCCAAAUUGCUGUAGACGUCUCGAAGGCCCGGCUCGGGAGCCCAGCUCCACCAACAAAAAACUGAGUCGCAGAAACGAGGAAAAACCACAGCGAAUCAGUCACCUCUUCUUCCGGCUCUGCAACUCCCUCACACAACAAAGAGGUGAUCUGCCGGAAGACACUUUUCCUGUGCUCUAGCUCCCCCACACACGGCGAAGGCAUUGCUCGAAAAUUAGUAGUCUGUCCAGCAUCUUCAGAGAAGUACCCGUCACACCAGCUUAACAGUAGAGGAUUCAUGGGAUCCAAGGCUUCAGAAACUCGCCAGAAGAUUGCGUACGUCCAGCCUUGCCGGGCAUCUUGAAUGACAGAUUUCAAGCGUUUCUGGAUAUUAUCAUCACGGGCAACAGAUGAUUGCCUAUGCUUAAGUCUGUCUUCGGGCCUGACAAAGAGGGUCCUGAUAGCCAUCUCCUUAAGCUCAUCUUCGGGCCUGGUGGCAAUGACCCGGAUAGCCCGCUCCCCCUUAGGUGUAUCUUCGGGCCUGGAACCGGAGAUUGGAGGGAUAACCGGCUUUUCUUGUCCUAUUCAUUCGACUUCUUAUAUGGGAGAAAGAAUCAUCUUCCAUGGUUCCAGUUAACCAGAAAUGACUACCCUUGUUCGUUCAUGCAAUUAUGGUAUCAGACUCUCAUUGUAGUGGAGCAGCACUAAAUAUCAAGUCCCAAAACGAAAUUCAGAAGUCAGAAAAAAGGGUCCAUGGUGAUGUUUGUGGACGGGAAAUGUAGUCUACAGAAAUUCGAGAAAUAGGAAAAACAUCUUGACCGUAGCUGGAAAUGGACCUAGAGUAAUAAGUGUGGCCGUUAGGAGCUCCAAGUUGAAUAAGAAGUUGCAUGUUGCAAGCUCGCAUUCAUUUUUGGCUCAUUCGGCAAAUUAGUCCAUUUGGUUUACUAGCUACUCGUGGUUCUUUACAAAUUUCAAAUGACAAAAAGAAUGGAGUGUAGUUAGUCUGUCUUAAAUUACGGUACUACUUUAAAGAUAGCUUUUAUGCAAAACUAGAACUUCUAAUCAGACUUUGAGGUUUGAAGUUGGAUUGGAUUUAAGGAUAGGAUGGAUUAUUCUCCAAGAAUAAGUAGAUAAACUGACCAAAUCAAAUAGAUUUGUUUUCAAACUUUUAAUUAAGUUUUGCAUUUUCAUUUGUUUUUGUAUAUUAAUUAGCCACAAAAUUGGAACACGUGAUAGAACGAUUCGUGCCUAAUUUGGCAUUUACUUUUAGCAAAAAGUUGGCGAAGCCAUCUUCAUAGGAAAAAAAGGAUUAAUUCUAGAUGAACUCAAUAAAAACAUACGGGUUUCUUGUAGGGACGAUGAAAACAUUCUGAUUCACAACCUGCAGGCUGGAUAGGCCAAGAAUCUAGUCUUAUAUUCCAGCUGAAUCUGUACCUAUAUACUAUGAGUAUACUGGUAUCAUUCCUAAACUUGAAAGGUGGCUCAGUCCUUCCCAACAGAUCGAAUUCAAGCGGAGGCUGCAGCAGCUCAAUAGCAAAGAGAACCUGGUGGUGCAGUCAGUGGAAGAGCAUCGACUACCCUAGAAUUACCACGAGCUACUUCAGAAACAGCUGCAGCAAUUUCAUGAACUAUUGCUCCUGCAACAGCUUGAGCAUGAACUGUUAUUCCUGCAACAGCUUGAGCAUGAGCUGUAACUUUUGCUGCUGCAAGAUUGAAGGGUCCUGUUAGCAAAUAAUGGAUAGGUGUCAUUGGUUAUCUUUGGCACUAUAUCCUUGCGCCGGGAGUAGUAAGGAGUUAGUUGCAAUUGUGUCAUCUAGCCUCCCGCACUGCCAGUUUCUUUCUUUCAUAGGGCUGAAGUUUGUUAACAACACACCUAGAAUAAUCCCCAAAAAGUAGUGUAAUACUUUUUUCCGGAAUGGUUAUAGAUUAUAGGAGCUGAUCUACUCGAGAGUUUACUUUGUUAAACAUCUAAGAUAAAAAUUUUGAUCUAAUGACUUGCUUCGAUUGAAAGAUGUCGCAUCAGAAAUUCUCAUGUUCCUAUAACGGAUUUGAAAGGUUUUAACCGUCAUGUUGUUGGGCAGGUGCACAAACUGGUGGUUCAUUUCCUCCUCCUCCUCCUUUCUGGGAGGCUUAGCCCUCAAAUAGCAAACUGUAAUGCAGUCUUAGCCAUUGAACCGUCGGACUUAAUCAUCACACCCUAUGGUGAAUGAAACGGUAAUGUUGGCAUAUUGAUAGGUUGCAAUUUUGUCAUUAAUUUUAUAAUUAUUUUUUCCUUUUAUAUUACCAAAUAUUGCAUUAAUUGAUGGAUUCUACUUAUUUUUUGUAAUUAUCGUUGGUUGUAGGAAUUUGGAUAAAAAUGAGUUAAAAUGCGUGAUUUUUUCACUAAACUUACUGUUCCGCAUGGUUACAUCAAAGUUUAAACUGCACACGUCCGUCUCUUUACCUGAUGAUUGGUCUCCUAUCUCUAUUGGGAAAGAAUCCUUUAUCUAGUGGGAAUUUGAUUUCGAUUAGUAGAAGUAGUUUAGUAGUAUUAGGAAACAAAACAACAGAGCAUCUUUAUCGUUUCUUUAUUCCUUCUUUUAGGGAGACUAGUUAGUAGUCAGGGGGUACUCUUUCUUUUAGUUAGCCGCAAGACACAAGAAAAACUCUCUCAUCUUUUCUUUCACUUUUUUCGAAUAAAAAUACAUCACUUUUGGGAGAGAAGACUCAUGUCAAUUAGUUCGACUAAUUGGCGUGGGAUUUCUUCAACGAAAAUGAACUAAGCUACCAUUUCUAGUCAAGGAACAACAGAGGAUUUGAUUCAUCUAAAAUUUGUGAAAUUGAAUUGAUUAUAUUUAUUUCUUUUAUUUAUUGAUAUUCGUAAAUUUAAUUUUUUAGGGUUAUUAUGUUAUUUGAAUAUCAAGAGCCUGAUAUUUAAUUUAAUCUAAUAGUCUAAAACUAGUUAGAAUAGUUAAAUCCGUAAUUGUUUAAUUACUUAAAUUAAUGGUGACUGGCAUAAUUGACUUUGUGUGGGAGAGCAUAUGGAUUAAUUUAAAAAAAUCCUCGUAGCGUGUUAUUUGAUUAGAAUAGAGUUUCUCUAAUUUUUAAGGCAAUUGGGAAAUUGAACUCUAAGAUCAUACCUAGGGUUAUUUCUUGAUUAGAAAAAUGAUUAUCAGUCAUACCUUGAUCACCAAUACAGUAAGAAGAAGUUGAUUAUCAUAGCGUGUUUGCCAGGUAUAACUUAUUUAUCAUUAAGUGAAUGAAAUUAUUAUUGCAUCUAUGAUUAAUUGAGUGAACCAUCUCCAAAAUUAUUUCUUGACUAGAGAUUAUUCAUUAUUGAUUUAAUUUUGUUAAAUUGUUAUUUAGUUUUUAUUUUAUUUAAUUUAUCUGAAUUGUUUAAUUAUCCUCAAUUAUAUAAAAAUCCCCAGAAUUUUGGGCUCUAGAAGAAAUGAAUUAUCCCCAAUCCUUGUGGAUUCGACCCUACUCACUGAUGUAUAAAAAAAUUAUAAUUUUUCUUGAGUAGGUAUUUAUUAUUGUACAAACUCGACAUCCUGUCAAUUUUUGGUGCCGUUGUCGGAGACUGGUGCUUAAUUAAUUUGUUUCUUUUUGAAUUCAUCUUAUUUUUAUUUUUAUUUUUCUCUUUUUUUAUUAAUUUAUGGCUGCUAAUAUUCAAUAUUUUGGUGAUAGACAAAGUUUUAUUCCUAAGAGGGAUAGUGAGACUUGUGUCUUUUCUAAUGAUCAAUAUUUAGAUUCACUAACCUCUCAUGUAGAUAAUUUGGCUGUUGCAACUUGUGAAAUUUGUUAUAUCUCAAAUCAUUCAACCGAGAUAUGCCCUGCAUUUCAAAAUGAUCUAAGUGCCCCAAUCAAUACUUUUGGAGAUUUUUCACCCUAAUGUCGAAUGUGGUAUGACCCUUAUUCAAAUGGGUAUGAUCAAGAAUGGUAGGACAACUCCAACUUUAAUUAUGCAACAGAGCCAAUCGAUUUUCAAUAGCAAUAUGAACAAAAAGAGUUUCAAGAAUUGUCAUCCAUGUCAGGUAACUCUCUUGAAGAAAUGAUGGAAUUACUAACUAAUAAUAUAUAUCGAUUUCAACAGGAGACACAAAUGAGAAUUAGAGGGAUGGAGGAUGGAAUGCAUCAACAACCAUUAUCCAUAUUAAGUAUGUUUCUUGAAGAAAUGAUUGAUCAUUUUCAACAGGAGACACAAAUGAGAAUUAGAAGGAUGGAGGACCAAAAGCAUUUAUUUGCAUCUACAAUGAGCAUUCGUAAUCUGGCGGCUCACGUGUGUCUAUUGGCAUCUAGAAUAACGUAAUUGACUUCUCAAAUAUGUGAAGAAUUGCUCUCACAGACCAUUAUCGACUUUGAGGAAGAUGAGAGUGCGAUUACCCUGACACGCGACAAUGAGCUACAAAAGUCUCAAGGAGAAGAAUCUAAAAAUGCUAUUGAAAAGAAAGUUGAGAAUGAGGAAAUAAAACCCCAAUCUCUAAUUGUUUAAGUGAAUGAAUCCAGUGAACAAUUUUCAAAUAUGGUGACAUCUUCUCCAUUCUCUGACUAAUAUUAUCCUGACUCUUAUUCUAUAAUUUCUGCUAGUGUGAUUGAUUUUGUUAUAUCAGAAAUUUUUGAGUCUCAUAGCAGGAAUAAGUUAAGAGUUGCUAUAGCCAAAUAUCUUGAAUCGGUAAGUGUUCAUGAUGGAGGAGCAAGUGAAGAAUUAAAGUUACUAUUUAAUUGUUUGGCGCCAUCUACUAGGCAAUGGAAGAACGUAACUCAUGUAUUUAAGGAUCACUCUACUGACAUCAGAAUUACAUAGGGGAUGAAACACUGAAAUGAGUUACAUGAUUUUAUCUUCUUUAAACAAAUAUGACAAUAUCUAGCCAAAAAUAUUAAAGAAAUGUGUUGCUUGAGAAGCAACCCAAGAAUUUUUAAUUUUUAAUUUUUGACAUUUCAUGUUUCUUGUUUAAUUUUUAGGUGCAAUUUAAGUGAUUUUAUUUUUUUUGUGUCAGGAAGUAGUUCGCUAGAAGACGUGCUCAAAUGAGAAUUGAAUGUUGAAUAUUCCUACGUCCAAUGCUAUGUGGCAAAUUGCCUGCAUGUACCUGCAGCAAAUGUCUAUGUUUUGAAACUCAGACUGGACAAUAACUCGGCUGAAUUCAGGGUCAGGGGUCAAAAGAUUCAACCGGAUCGGAUCGGUAUACAAAAUCGGAUGAUGUCAGCAUAAUGUCAUUAAUAUAAUAUAAUUAAAAAUAAGAAUACUAUGUAAAAUACUAAUAGCAUGUUAAUAUCAAGAAAGCCACAUUCAUAUAUGUUUGAUGUUUCAAAAUUAUUUAACGAGAGAAUAUGAAUAAAAUAGAAUGAUUAAGUUUCCAUUCAUGAGAAAAAAAGAAAGUUUCCAUUUGUAUAACUCAAGGCAUAUCCUACAAGUUUCAAAUUAAAUUUAGGGGUUCAUUUGAAAAAUAAUACCAGAAUUUAGCACUAUACUUAUAGAUUAUAAAGUGUUUUUAGGUGUAUUAAUAGUUCUGUAAAACUCUAGGAGUCGAAACAUAAAAUCGGAAAAGCUUUGAACUCCGCAAUAAUUUUCUUCCUAUUUCUUUUUCUUUUUCUUUUCCUCGAGUCCCCACCCAGCUGCCGCUUCAUCUUAUUUUCCCUUCCUUGCCGAUUGCCAUCUUACUGUUCCUUCUUCUUUUUGUUUUCCUGAUUGUUUUGCUCACCUUUGCAAUAUUAAUUUUGUUAUUUUUUUUCCAAACUCAGAAAAUAUCAAACUUUUCAUAUUUUCUUUUUUCCAUGAUAAGGUAAUAGUACGGAAUAAAAUACCAACUAGUAAGUAGGAAAACUAAUUCCGAUUAAAAACUACUAGAAAGCAAAUUUGAAAAUUUUCUCGACAUUGAUUUAUUUUGACAACAUUACCUCGCUUAGUUAUAUAUUUUAGAAUGAAUUGGAAAAGGUACCUAGUGAAUAACAUAUUCAGAAAUGACUUGGAAAUAUGCGUUUAGUGAAAAAUAAUCUAAGUUCAUAGUAGAGGAGACAGACCAAAUAUUUUGUUCGAAGUGUCUUCCAAGAAGUGCAUUCUUAGACUGGUCUGUUUGGAUUGUGAAUUAUUAGAGAUAUUUUUACUGUAACACUUUUUGUGAUGUGAUGUAUGUGAGAUAAAAAGAUAAUUGGGAAGGUAAAAAGGUGUAUUGGAAAUUGUAAUGAUGAUGUAAGCAAAUAAAUUUGGGAAAAUAAAGCCCAAUCCAAACAAACGUGUGUUAAAGACUUGCAACACUGAUAAGAAAGUAUCAUUUUUGACAACGAAAAUUCUUACAUGGAUAAUUUAAAUGGAUCAGUAUUACAGUGUAGCCCAACCAACCAAAAUUAGUUACAAGUAUUCAGUUAAAUACGGAAAACCCAACAAGUAGCAACCCAUAUUUGUCAAUAAUAGACCGUCGGUGAUUUGUGACUCACAUAUUUCCCCUGAGAAAUUUGAAGGGGAAACCUAGGAGAGAGUCAGUUAGAAGCCACUAAUAAAACUUCUUUGACGUUGCUCAUAAUUUUAUUGUCUUCCUUUUGAGGUUUUAAAAAUUUCACUUACUUUUUCUGACAUUAAUUUGGGACCUAGUGUUCACAUCAUUAUUGGUGAAAUGACUCAACUAUCCUUACAACUUAAGAUAUUUUAUACAUAUUUGUGGAAAGAACCAAUCAAAACGUUUACUAUUUAAAUUAAACAUAAUUUGAAAUUUCAAAAACAACUAAUUUGCUACAUAAAAAGGGAACUAAUACUAGGUGCACUUUUUCUAUUAACUAGUUUUUUCAGCCUCACGCAAUGCGUGAGGAUGCCCUGGGUCUAUGUUAAUCAAGAUCAAAUGAAGGCAAGUGGAUUAAUGUAAAAUGGUUAUAUAUUUAAUACAUGAUAGGUGUUAAUAAAUGUGGAGAAUUUGACUUUAGGUAAAUUGAAUAUUGCUGUUACUCGUUUACUCAUUUGAUUUGUAAUUUUCUCUUAGAUAUUCAGUCUUUAGCUUAAGAUCUUUGCGAAUUCUUGAUAUUAUAAAUAAAUGAUGCAUUCAUUUAAAAUGUACAAGUACAUACAUAUAUCAUAAAUAUGGUGACGCUGAUCACUUUUAAAAUUAUGCACACACUAUUUGUAUCUAAUCAAGAAUGAAAUAAGUUUAAACAAGAUCAGCUAGGUGAGAGUGCGAAAACUUCACCUUGUAAAACCGCCAAAUCCAGGUCUUCAAUUGGAGAAAGAAACACAUCCAAUAUGUUGCUUUUCAAAUGGCUUUCUCUCAAGAUUACAUAGGCAAUACAGCUUUGUGCGGCUCCCACAGACCCCUUCGGACACCACCCACUGCCCACUCACCAGUGGAGAUCAAGCAACUACAACUAUACGAUGAAGAUACAAAUACACGUCUGAACUCUGAAGCACAAACACAAAAGCCCCCAAAGUUGACCAAGCACACAACUGAAGCACGAAUGCAAAAGCCACCGAAGUUGCUCAUAAUUUAGGCGGUGGAUCUAUUUUACAAAUGGGGUAACAAACUCGUGUUUAAAAUCCAAAAAUAAGUAUUUAUAGAAUCGUUUUUUCAUGCUCGAAAGAAAAAUUGGAACUACUGUAAAAGUUUAAAAAUUAUAAUCCAUUUCUUAAAUUGCAUAUUUUUUUUAUGAAGAAAGUUUAUCCUUUUGCAAAAAAAAAAAAAAAAAAGUUUACACAGCCACGGGAUAUCUUCAUAUUUUUAGUAACAAACUCGUGUUUAAAAUCCGAAAAUAUGUAUUUAUAGAAUCAUUUUUUCCUGCUCGAAAGAAAACUUAGGACUACUGUAAAAGUUUAAAAACUAUAAUCCAUUUCUUAAAUUGCAUAUAUUUUUUUAUGAAGAAAGUUUAUGCUUUUGCAAAAAGAAAAAAAAAAAGAAAAAAUGUUUACAUGGCCACGGGAUUCCUUCAUAUUUUUUUUAAUUUUUUUUCCAAAACAGGAGGACCCUCUUGUUUAUAUUGACAGUAUACAUUUUCACAUUUUAAUGCAUAUUAUUUAAUCCAAAUUUGAAUUCUAAUAUCAACUUUUGUAUAUAUGACAUGUAUCCAAAAAUGAUAGUGAGUGCGUUUGGAUUGAAAUGAUUUGAAAAAAAUAAUUUACUUCACAAAUUUCAAUGACCUUUUUAUCUUCCAAAUCACCUUUUUAUCUCACAUAUAUCACAUCAUAAAAUAUGCUACAGUAAUUAUCUCAAAUAAAUCAUUCAAAUAACUCAAUGUAUACUGUAUAUUCUGAAACUCUUGGUUGAAAUGUAAGAUAAUUAAAGAAUAUUUCGUAAAGCUACAUAUGCAAAACAGUGGAAAUGUACGAUGCUACUUUCAACGUGAAUCAAACACAAAGAUGCCAAGUUUCAUCGUUCUAUUGCAGCAAAAAAAGUUUGCUUGCAUGAUAUUGCACUAUUAAUGCCUUACACGAAGAGAACUAAAGAGGAUAAUAAUGGAUAUGCCAUAUUAUAUCUAAAAGUUGAAGCACUCAAAACUGGUCCAACUUCCACCAUACAUACACCCAAACCCUAAGAAAACAAAUCGAAUGUUCCAAUUUCUAGUUUUCAAUUUUUAUAGCAAGCCCAAUUAAGAAUAUAAACAAAAAUUAAAACUCUGAAUGAAGAAAAUACGAAUAAAAGUAUCUAAAGCUAAAGGUUGGGUAGUACAUUACUUUUCUGAAAUUUCUUAUCAAGAAUUAGUUCAAACAUGUUCAAUAAUUCUUUUCUCGUUAUACAUAAUAGUGAUUAAGGCACACUCAGAUGUGUGUAUAACUAAUUAGAAUAAAAAUAUUUGUAAUAAUAAUUCUCUUAUAAAAGUGAAGUAUUAUAGGGGAAACAAGUGCAUGGGCUUAAUUUUGGUGAUGUUAAUAAAGAAAAAUUGAAAAAAUGUGUGUCAAAUAUAGUAGAUAAACAUGGAGAAAUUGAACGUAAAAAUACGGGAAGAUUCGAACUUAUAGUAAAAUUGUUGUUUUAUUAUUUUGUUAGAGAAUAAAUCCAUUUUAUCCUUUAUAAUAAAGGCAAAAAAAAUAAAAAAGAAGAAGAAAGAACUAACAACACAACACCGUAAAGGGCAUCAAGCUUUAUAUAUGGCACAUAUAUGCUUCCUAAAAAAUGCCACUGGAGGGAGAGGGGAAAGAAUUCUAGCGUCUGAACUCUGGAGCAAGAGGGCAAGCCCAAACAAAUUCCUAUGAAAUGCCAUUGGAAUUGUCGAAAUUUACAGCAUAACCAGUCUAUCUGCCUAUGAAAAAGCCACUGAAGUUGCUCAAAAUUACCGGAUAACCAGUCCAUGAGCACUGUAGCAACUCCAACUCGCGCUUUUAGUAUAGUAAGGAUGUACUUGAUAGAUAAAAGGAGUUAUAUAUGAUGCACCUAAUAAAUAAAAAGAUACAGACAUGAAAAAUAAUUGAGCUGUUUACAAACUAAAUUAAACAUAAUUUUAUUAUAUUAGAAAAAUUAAUCUAAAAUUAGGAAAAUACUCCCAUACUAGGCUCGUUUUUUUUUUUUCAAAUGUACUUGACAAUUAAUAGAAGUGGGACAUGAGGGGACUUUGGAUCCAUUGUUUCUUCUUAUUACCAUGGUGGAAACAAGAAUCUUAAGGUAAGAAAAAAAUUUUACUAUUUUGUUAAACUACGAAAGUUGUUACUUUUUUGCUGCAAAUGAUGAAAAGUUUUUUAUUAACCAUGUGCAGUAACAACCCCAUGAGUGAAAUAAUAAGUAAGAGCAAAUAAUUAAAUUAACUAUUAUUAUAGAUAAGGGGGCACUUAUGGAAUCAAAUGAUCUUCUCACACCUAAAAUCAUUUUUAGGGAUAAUUUCAGAAACCUCCCUUGAGAUUUCUAACAAUUUCAUUACCCGCCUCUGAGCUUUCAAAAAUAUCACUUACAUCCUGUAUAAGUUAUUUGAACCCAAUGCUUACCUCAUAGAUGUUCAAAUAACUUUAUUAUCCUUAUACCUUAGGAAAUAUUACAUAUUUAUAUGGGGAGAAACAAUUGAGUUACUUGUACUAAAUUAACCAUGAUUUGGAAUAUAAAAAAUUUCAAAAUCUUGAAUACUAAAUGUUAUAAUGAUAGUUUUUAACAUUUUAAAAUUAUUUUUCUAUAUGACAGGGUGUCAAACCUGUGCAAUAAUAAAUACCUGCUCAAAUAAAAUACAAAUUCUGUAGAUAGUGAUAAGUAGGGUCGAAUCCACAGGGACUAGGGAUAAUUCGUUUCUUCUAGAAUUCAAAGUAUAGGGGGUUUUGAGAUUAAGUGCCAAUUAAACAAAUUAAAUGCAGGAAGUAAUUAAUUCAAAGAAAUAAUUAAGAGAAGCUCUAGCCAAGGGUACACUUCAGAAAUAGUUCAUGCACUGAUCAUUGAUGCAGAAAUAAUUCCAACAUUUAGUAAUAGAUUAGUUAUAGUUGUCAUGCACGCGAUAAACAACCAACCCUUCCUUAAUUUCUCGAUAGCUAAGGUACGACCGUUAGUUAUUUCUCUAACCCAAAAAUAACCCUAGGUACGACCGUAGGAUUUAAUUCCUAAAUUGCAUUAAUAAUUAGAAAGGCCCAACUCUAACCAACAAACACGCUACGAGGGUUUGUUUAAACUAGAUCAUAUGCUCCCCUGACAUAAACCCAAUUACGCCAGUUGCUACUGAGGUAGAGAUAACGAACAAUUACGGAUUCAAUUACCCCUAUUUAACAAAAAUAGCCUAUAUGAAUAAUUAAUUAUUGCGCACUAAUCAAUCAUACACAAGGCCAUAGCAAUUAAAAUCAAUGAACAUAUAAAUACCAAUAAAUGAAGAAAAUAAUUAAAACAGAUUCGAUCUCACAGUAAUUGUCGAAUCAAAUCGUCAAUUGUCCUCUUGACUAGAAAAUAAGAAUUCAGUUCUUCAUUGUUGAGGAAGUUCCCAACAUGAUACUGUCGAAAGUAAAAAACUCAGUCCUGCGGCUAUUCAGCCUCUAAUUCCCUAUAUCCCCCGUGACUAGUCUUCUAACCUAAUAAGAAGAGAAAAGAAUCCAAAAGAUGGGACCCUCCGAAUUCCUUCUUGUUUCCUAUUAAUAGUAGGACUUCCUAACCUCUGUACGUUUCUUCCUAAAUAAUAGACUAAUCCUUUCUUUUCUCCGUGGUCCCCGCACAAUUGAGAGCAAAAGUCCUCCCAAAGCAUCCUGCACCAACAGAGGCUUUCCUUCUUUGUUUUGCUUCCUAUUACCUGUAGGACUCCAAUCUCCUAAUCAGCAAAGGAAAUGCAAUCUCUUUGUAGCACCAUGUGAACCCGAUUGUUUGAAAUCUCAAUUAUCUCCAAAAAGUCCCUCAUUUUUGUAGUUUUCUACUCCAUUCCCUGAAAUUGAGUUCAAUACCAAAUAUAAGUAAAUAUUAACAAUUAAAACAAUAUUUGACAAGAAUAAAGGGGAAAAUUAACAAUAAAAUAACCAACAAUUAACACCCUAUCAAUUCCCCCCAUACCUAAAUCAUGCUUGCCCUCAAGCAUAAGAACAGCAAAUGAACACCAAAAUUUGACAAUGGCUAUUGCUCUAACUAUCAUAUUGCCAAGAUACCCAAAACAACAUAUAUCAAGCAUCACAGUUAAGAUCCAAGAAAGACCACUCCGAUUAGCUUCCCAACCACCAACUCCUCUAAUUUAAAGCAAACUAAUCUAAGAAAAAGGAAUGAUUGCUCACAUUUAUUAGUAAAUGGUCCAACUAUUAACCAAAAUCUCGAUAUUAAGAUCACAAAUCGGCAAGCUGACUUUUCAAAUACGAACAAAAUCUUUACUCUACUUUUUUUUUUUGAAUAACAAAAGACUUAGUCUCUAGCCAUCGGAGCCUUUUGACGCGGACUCCAACAUUUGUCAGAUGAAGGAGCCCGGUUACUCAACCUCCAUCGCUGUAUGACCACGUACUCAUAGAAAUCACUACCUUUUGACGCGAAAAUCGACACUUUAGAUGAAGAUCCCCGGUUACUCAGUAGUAACCACUAGCAGAGUACAGUCAACUCUUAUUUGCAACCAUAUAGCAAGAUAUCUGAAAGCAACACAAGAAUAACAGCAGCCAGCCUCAAAUUUUCAAACAUGGAGAACUAAAAUUAAUAACUGGACCAAUUCACAUGAAAAAUGCCAACAAUCAUUCCCUAUGCCUAGAAAAGUUAACCAAAAAUUAGAAAAGUCAAGCAAUUACUGAUAUUCACCAAAGAGAUGUUCCUGAACUCAACCACAUCAACUUGAUGCGCUUUUAUUAAUAAAAUUUGGCAAUAUCAGAAUUAGAGACAACAGUCCAACAUCAAAACUUAGUAUUCAAAUAAGAGCUGACCACUAAUAAAAGAAAAUAAAAUAAAAUAAAUAAACGAAAAAUAGAACAAAUAACAAAAAUAAAGGAAAACAUGUAAAAACUAAAAAUUAGAAAUACUAGCUGUACCACAGUUGUCCCCCCCCAACACCUAAGUCACACAUUGCCCUCAAUGUGAUAAUGUAAAAGUAGAAGGAAGGAGAGGGGCAACGGCACUUCCCUGAAAUCAUCAAAACAUGGGCAGUUCAGGUGGAAAUUGAGGAUCAAGGUCUGCAUGGGGCAUAAAUGCUGCCAAAUUCUGCGUAUGUGAUGCAGGUUGACGUCAAUGUGGGUCAUCCGAGUUGCUAGUCGCUCAACUCGCAUCUGGAGCUGGUGCCAUUCGUCAGCCCCUGGGAUAGGAGGAGGCUGCGAGUGUCUAGGUGUCCUAAACCUAGAAGCGGAUCUUGGUCUUACCAUGAUCUCUAGAUGUCACUCUAAUCACAAGGGACUACAAUUGCCAACAGAUAAUGAAAACAGGAAUUUCAAAGUAAUAACAAUUUUUUGUUUAAAACCAACCCAAUGAACAAUAGGCACAAUUCAAUCACCCACAGGUUAUACGAAUACCUCAACACUAAUAACAAAUGCAAUCAAUGACCCCCUGUGGUCCAAAUGUAGUCAAAUUCAGAAUCAAGGCAGUCCAAUCAUGCAACAAGUGCUCCAAAUAGCUUAGUAAAGGAAACCAAAAGGAUAAAAUGCUCCUAAACAAGGCAAUUAGAGGCAACUAACUUCAAUAAGCAAAUUUAAGCGUUAUAGGCACCUCCCAAUUUAACAAGCAAAUUACCCACAAUUAGACACAUAUCACAGCAAAAUAGACACAAUUGGUCCCAAAAUGGUAACAGCUGCCUCCAAUUGGACAGUCAAUUCCCCAAUUCAACCUGCCAAAAUCAGCAAUUGACCCAAGAAAAUGGUAACUCCAGCAACAGUUCGGAGAUCUAGCAGGAGCAACACUUUAAGCACAAAAGCCCAAUAGUCAAUGGUGCACAACAAAAAUGGAAUCAGAGCAAAAUUAACUCAGCCACAAGAACCUCUUAGAAAUCGCAACCGACGGUGCACAGAAACAGCAACUAAAUGCCCAACCCAAAAUCGCAACAAACGCCCAACAAAAGCAGCAAACCCCCAAAGUCAACCCCCGAUAACUUCCAAAUAAAAUAGCUAUCAGAGGGUCUAGAAAAUAUCAAUCUCAAGGGCUAAAAGAAGUCCCAAAUGAAUGAAUUGGGAUAGUAACUACGGCCAUGAAUCAGCAAUCAAUGCACUAAGUAUUAUAGUUGCUGGACUGAACAAAUAAAUGCACAACUCUGCCAACUACAAUUCAGCAGAUGCCCGAAUAAUUUAGCAACUUAAAUCAACAGUCAUAGGGCAUCAAGAAUUCAGUAAAAUAAUUUAGCAGGGACCCGAAAACCAAAGUUCAAUAUAGAACCCAAAGCCUGUGUCCAAUUCACUCUAGAGAUCUAUUCCAGAAAUAGUACCCCAAAUAUAAGUAAUUUACCUUAGAAAAUUAGCCAAAAAAUUGGGAAAAACAAGUACCUCUGCUGCAUGCCAGAGACACCAAGCAGAUGGCCAUGGGUGGUGGAGCAGUGGAGCAGCGGCGGAGCGCACGGAGUCGCUAUAGUGGAGGAGCUGGGGGCUGCGAGGAGGAGCUAUUGGCCGUGAUCUGGUGUGAAGUGGAGAGAGAGCAGAGGGAGGUGGUGGCGGUAAGCUGGGGUGGAGCUUGCGAUGGUGGUAGGACGCUAGGUGAGAAGAGUGCGGCCGUGGUCUGUGGGUGAAGUGGAGCUGAGGUGGAGCUGGAGAGGGAGGGGCGUGUGCGGUGGAGCUCGCGGUAGAGGAGCUUGGCCGCGAGCUGGUAGCGGGUGGGAGAAGCGGAGCAGCGGCGGUUGGCGACGGGCUGGCGCGCGGGGGAGAAGGGCGAGCAAUGGAGGGGCGGCGACCUUGGGGUUGCGCGAGAUGGGUGGUAGAGGCGCGUGAGCUGGUGCGCCUCGCAUCGUGGGCUGGCGGGGCUUUUGGCGGUGGGGGCGUUCGCCGCUGGUGUCGCGAUGGAGUUUCGGGCUGGUGGAGGUUGCAGAGCUUGGGCUGCGAUGGAAGAGCUACUGGUGGCAUUUGUGGUGGUGGAGGAGCUGAGGUGGAAGAUGGGUGGCGGCGGAUGGAGGCUCGGUCGAAAGAAGAAAAUAGAAGGAAAAAGAGGAACAAGGCAGCGGGAAAGAAGAAGAAGAAAAGAGAAAGAAAAAAAAAGAAAAAAAAUAGUUUUCGGGUUUUUUUUUUCAAUGUUUUUUCCAAAUUUUUUUCCGAAUUUAAAUUUUCAAAAUUUGAAUUUUUGAAGAAAAAGAAAAAAAAUCUGAAUUUUUUUUUUUUGAAUUCAUUUUUGGGUCAUCAAACACCGCGUGGACACGUCAAGAUUGUAAAACGUCCACUGACCAUGAGACUUGAAUUUAGACGCUUAACACGUGCCCUACUCGCGUGGGCACGCCAAGAUUACCUAUUUUGGUCAUAGUGAGGAAACAUCAAGAGUGAUUAGUACCCAAGUGAGAAACGACAUAUUUAAGAAAUUGAACACAAAAAUAACAAAAUCAACAAUUGGAUUGCCUCCCAAAAAGCGUCUUUCUUUAAUGUCUUUGGCUAGACAUGCUAUGCUUGUUCACGGAGGAUAAAAUCUUGUAGCUCGCUUCAAUGUUUCAUCUUCAAUGUGAUCCCGGUAACCCUCAUAGAUGGAGUAAUCUUUGAGCACACGAGUUACGGUCUUCCAUGGACUAGUUGAUGGCGCCAAACAAUCAAGCAUUGAUCGCAAUUCUUCAUCCACUCCUCCAUCAAGAGCACUCAACGGUUCAAGAUAUUUGACCAUAGCUACUCUUAACUUAUUUCUGUCAUGAGACUCAAAAACUUCUGGUAUAACAAAAUCAAUCUCAUUAACAGAAAUCAUAGAAUAAGAGUUAAGAAAAUGCGGGUUAGGGAAUGGAGGUGGUGUCACCACAUUUGAUGAUUCUUCACUGGAUUCUUUCACUUGAAUGGGUUGCGGUUGGGGUUCCAUUUCUUCCUUUUCGGCUUCUUUUUCAACUGCAUCUGUAGAUCUCUCAUUUUGACACUCUUGCAUCUCCUCAUCACUAGUCAAGCAAAUUGCACUCUCAUUUUCUUCAAAAUCAACAAUGAUUUUCGAGGGCAAUUCUUCAAAUUGAGAAGUCAAUCGAUUUAUUCUGGAUGUCAAUAGACAUAUUUGAUCUUUCAGAUUACUCAUUGCAUCCUUCAUCAUCUCAGUUCUCAUUUGUGUCUCCUGUUGGAAUCAGUAUGUAUUAGUAGCUAUUGAUUCAACUAUUUCUUCAAGAGACAUACCUGACAUAGAUGAUGAUUCUUGAGACUCAUACCGCUGAAAAUUUAUUGGCCCUGUUGUAUAAUUAUAACUGGAGUUAUCCCACCAUCCUUGAUCAUACCCGUUUGGAUUAGGGUUAUACCACGUUUGAGACCAGGGUGAAAAAUCUCCAUAAUUAUUGAGUGGAACACUCAGAUUAUCUUGAUAUUCGGGGCACAUACCGGUUGAAUGAUCCCUGGCAUAACAAAUUUUACAGGUUGUAGCAACCAUUCUUUCUCUAAUAGAGUUUAGUGCCUCUGCAUAUGCAAACUUAGCAAAAAAAUAAGCCUCAUUGCCUUCCCUGGAAACAAAAUUCAGUCUAUCACCAAAAUACGGAGUGUUAGAAGCCAUAAACUAUAUUAAAAAAAAUUAAGAGAAAAAUAAAUAAAAAAAAUAAAAACAUGAUGAAUUCAAAAAGAAACAAAUUAAUCUGGCACCAGUCCCCGGCAACGGCGCCAAAAAUUGACAGGGUGUCAAACCUGUGCAAUAAUAAAUAUCUGCUCAAAUAAAAUACAAAUUCUGUAGAUAGUGAUAAGUAGGGUCGAAUCCACAGGGAUUAGGGAUAAUUCGUUUCUUCUAGAGUUCAAAGUAUAGGGGGUUUUGAGAUUAAGUGCCAAUUAAACAAAUUAAAUGCAGGAAUUAAUUAAUUCAAAGAAAUAAUUAAGAGAAGCUCUAGCCAAGGGUACACUUCAGAAAUAGUUCAUGCACUGAUCAUUGAUGCAGAAAUAAUUCCAACAUUUAGUAAUAGAUUAGUUAUAGUUGUCAUGCACGCGAUAAACAACCAACCCUUCCUUAAUUUCUCGAUAGUUAAGGUACGACCGUUAGUUAUUUCUCUAACCCAAAAAUAACCCUAGGUACGACCGUAGGAUUUAAUUCCUAGAUUGCAUUAAUAAUUAGAAAGGCCCAACCCUAACCAACAAACACGCUACGAGGGUUUGUUUAAGUUAGAUCAUAUGCUCCCCUGACAUAAACCCAAUUACGCCAGUUGCUACUGAGGUAAAGAUAACGAACAAUUACGGAUUCAAUUACCCCUAUUUAACAAAAAUAGCCUAUAUGAAUAAUUAAUUAUUGCGCACUAAUCAAUCAUACACAAGGCCAUAGCAAUUAAAAUCAAUGAACAUAUAAAUACCAAUAAAUGAAGAAAAUAAUUAAAACAAAUUCGAUCUCACAGUAAUUGUCGAACCAAAUCGUCAAUUGUCCCCUUGACUAGAAAAUAAGAAUUCAGUUCUUCAUUGUUGAGGAAGUUCCCAACAUGAUACUGUCGAAAGUAAAAAACUCAGUCCUGCGGCUAUUCAGCCUCUAAUUCCCUAUAUCCCCCGUGACUAGUCUUCUAACCUAAUAAGAAGAGAAAAGAAUCCAAAAGAUGGGACCCUCCGAAUUCUUUCUUGUUUCCUAUUGAUAGUAGGACUUCCUAACCUCUGUACGUUUCUUCCUAAAUAAUAGACUAAUCCUUUCUUUUCUCCGUGGUCCCCGCACAAUUGAGAGCAAAAGUCCUCCCAAAGAUUCCUGCACCAACCGAGGCUUUCCUUCUUUGUUUUGUUUCCUAUUACUUGUAGGACUCCAAUCUCCUAAUCAGCAAAGGAAAUGCAAUCUCUUUGUAGCAACAUGUGAGCCCGGUUGUUUGAAAUCUCAAUUAUCUCCAAAAAGUCCCUCAUUUUUGUAGUUUUCCGCUCCAUUCCCUGAAAUUGAGUCCAAUACCAAAUAUAAGUAAAUAUUAACAAUUAAAACAAUAUUUGGCAAGGAUAAAGGGGGAAAUUAACAAUAAAAUAACCAACAAUUAACACCCUAUCACUAUAUUUUAGUAGUUCUUGUAAUUUCUUCCCCCCAAAAAGAUUAAAAUUCCUUUUGAGAUAUUAUUAUUUCAUAAAUUUUUCAAAAGAAUAAAAAGAUGAAUAUGAAAAUACAUUAAAAAGAUAGGGUAAAGUAUUAAAAUAUGCUUACAAUUGGAUUUUAUUAAGUUGUGGAUAAAAUGUAACUUCGCAUAAUCUAUUCUUUCCUUUAGUUUUCAAAAUAUUUGGUGUUUCUUUUCUUUUCUUUGUAUACGUAAUCCAAACAAGAUGGUUAGAAAUACUUUUUUCUACUUUGAUUUAUUGAUUUUUCGUUAAAAUCAUACCUUUUCUAUUAAUCCAAACAUUGCCUAAGAGUUGUUAUUUCUUUUAUUACAAAUGAUGAAAGUUUCUUAUUAAUCAUGUGAACUAAUAAACCCUGUAAGUUAAAGAAAUAAUUUUAAAAACACAACAUAUUUUUAGGAUAUUUUAUAUUUUUUAUCAUUAGCAAUCUAUUGUGAUGUCUUUUUUUAGUUAGGAAAAUACCGGUUUUCAUCCCCAAACUUUGGGGUAAGGACACAUUUCGUCCCUCAACUUUUGGGCACGACACAUUUGAUGUCUGAAUUAAUAUUUUUUGACCAAUGUCAUCCUCAAACGGCAAUUUAGCCAAUUUUUAAAGGAACUGGUAUUUUCACAUGACCGUUAAGUAAACUUAAAUCACAUUUUUAAGAAACCUGCCAGUUCCCUGCAUGCAAUCAGUUAACUUUUGGCAAUUUUGACUAAGCAUCCAUCAAUAAACACUUGCGUCCCGUACGUAAGGGGGGAAAAAAAGCUAAAAAUAAGGAUAAAAUGAAAAAUAGGCAAGAAAAGAAAUAAUCAGCAUGAAAAAUGAAAAGGGAUAAUUUCACAAACAUUCCUUAAGAUUUUUAAUAGUUACAAAAAACUCCCCUCAAAAUUUAAAAAUUACAUAUACUUUGCAUACUUUUACUAUUUACAUAAGAGCAAAUUAUUUGAGCAGGCAUUGAACUAUUUGAAUAGUAAAAAUUUGGCCCUUCAAUUAUUCAUAACAUAUUUUUACCCAUUGAACUAUUAAAGUAUAAACUUUGAGUUAUUCAUAACAUAUUUUUACCCAUUGAACUAGUAUGUUUUGUAUUUAACAUAAAUUAAAUAUAUAAAAGUUAAAAAAAUAAAUAAAUUACCCAUAACAUACCAACUAUUUAUGGAAAACUGGCAAGUUUUGUAGUAUGUUUUGUACCAACUCUUUAUGGGAAACAUAGUUAUAGGAAAAAUUGGUUAAAUAGCGUCCAAAGGAAAACUAGUAUAUUUUGUAUUUAACAUAAAUUAAAUAUGUGAAAGUUAAAAAAAAUAAUAAAUUGUCCAUAACAUACCAGCUCUUUAUGGAAAAUUGGCAAGUUUUGUAGUAUGUUUUGUACCAACUCUUUAUGGGAAACAUACUAGCUCUUUAUAGGAAAAAUUGGUUAAAUAGCGCUCAAAAGAAAACUAGCUAGUAUGUUUUGUAUUUAACAUAAAUUAAAUAUGUGAAAGUUAAAAAAUAAUAAUAAUAAAUUGCCCAUAACAUACCAGCUCCUUUUGGGAAACUUGCAGGUUUUGUAGUAUGUUUUGUAUCAGCACUUUAUGGGAAACAUACCAACUCUUUAUAGGAAAAAUUGGUUAAAUAGCGCUCAAAAGAAAACUAACUAGUAUGUUUUGUAUUUAACAUAAAUUAAAUAUGUGAAAGUUAAAAAAUAAUAAUAAUAAAUUGCCCAUAACAUACCAGCUCCUUUUGGGAAACUUGCAGGUUUUGUUAAAAAUGUGAUUUAAGUUUACUUAACGGUCAUGUGAUUUUCACGUGACCAGUUCCGUUAAAAAUUGGCUAAAUUGCCGUUUGAGGAUGACAUUGGUCAAAAAUUAUUAAUUCAGACAUCAAAUGUGUCGUGCCCAAAAGUUGAGGGACGAAAUGUGUCCUUACCCCAAAGUUUGGGGAUGAAAACCGACAUUUUCCCUUUUUUAGCUUGAAGAGGCCAUAUUUUGGCUUGUUCAAUUCUUGUUCAAAUAUUUUCAAAUUCUAAUAUUAAGGGUUUAGGAAUUUUAUGUACAAAUCUUGAUUCCAAAUUAACAAAUUUUUCUCUCCAAUACUUUAACUUUGCUAUUUUUUGCAAAUCCAUGGAAAAUAGUCGUUGUUAAUAAGUUUUGUUGUGCUCGUGCUAGAGUUUAGUCUUUAUUUUUUAUUUUUAACUAAUAUUUUCUUUUGAUUCUAAGUCAACGAACUAGUAAUAAAUUGAGAGGUGCUUUUGAUAUGAAAUAUUCUUCUCACUCUUGAAAUCAUUUUUCUAUUGUUGAUUUUUUCGAAUUGGAUGAAUUUGUUACAAGAACAUUUGUUUUAAGGGAGGUUAAUGAUAUUUUUAAACUUUAGAGGAGGGCAAUGAAACUAUCAAAAACCUCAGGGGAGGUUUCUGGAAUUAUCCCUUCUUUAUGGUUUAAGAAAAGGUGCUAUAAUUCAUAGCAUGUAUCUUUACCGGUCGAACAGAUGAUGCCACCACUUAGUGAACUGAAUCCUAGAAUGACUCCUAUCUAUGAUCAUCAAAUCAUUGUAGCAUUCUGUUAUCAACUGCUAGUAGAAAGUGCAAUCAAUCUAGUAGACUCCUAUUUACUCUUUCUAUAGAGUAACCUUUUAUUUACGGAUAGUAAGCGUAGAGAUUUGUGAAACAAGAAAAGAUUCAAGAACAAGCCCAGAUGGGAGAGAUUACCAGAAAUCUGACUAGACUAAUAUGGACUCAUUCAGUCUAAAGUACGAUCAAUACACAUGCAAAUUUUUCGUUUAGACAAAACGCAAUGGACAAUGAAAGGAAAAUGACAAGAUUUAGCAUUCACUUGAAACCACAGAACUACCAAUAUCAUCAAAAUCUAGUAUGGAGGCAAUUAUCUUCUUCAUUCCAGCUGAACUCAAAACAAUUGGAGUUCAAGAACAGAGUAUUACAAGUGACAUAUUACAACAGGUUGGACCAGCAACAACACAGUCUAACAACACAAAUAUGUGAGCUUAAUAAAAUUAUUGUACUGUACAUCUACAUUCACAGAUUACACAAGCUACAUAUGGAUAAUCAAGGACAAAAAUUAGAUAAAAGCUGAAUUAUCUACCAGCUUUCAACUAAAUAAUCUCACUCUAACUAUACUAAAACCUAUAGUACACAAGCGACGAGGCAAUAGUGUACCGACCUAGCUACCGGGACCCCUAAAAUUCCCCAGAGCCUCAACACGAUUUUGGCAAAGAAACUCUUCAGUCCUACCAGUUUUGGUCAAGCACAAUCUGCUCAUGCCUCAUCGAGUUUCAGCAACUCUGGAAGUCAAUGCUAUUUUAAGCUGCUCUUGCGUGUAAAACCUCUUUCCCAUCCUCACUGUAUUUUGCUGGAUCAUCAAAUCAUUCACCACUGAUACACUGGCAUGGAGCAACUCCAGGUCAAGAUCCUUGAGGGCCCCCAUUAUCCUAGCAGCUGGGUGGUUGUUUUUACUGGACUGGACUCGAAUCAUUGCCUCCCAACCGAUGAUCUUCACAUCUAUGUCCAUAUCCAGACUCUUGCUUCCUUGGUGGCUUGCCAACUUGAGAUCUUUAUCCGGCGGGGGAGGUGCGAAAUUUCUAGCCUCUUUGCUGGUUAAUUCCUUCUUCAAGGAGUCUAUCUGGUUCCUCAAUUCCUCUUUAUCAGACUCCAUAUUAUGAAGCUUCGAUUUCAACUCAUUAAUAUAAGAAAUAGCAUCCCCAAGAAGGGAGGCUUUGUCCAUUUUUGACACAUUAGGAACCACAGCUCGAAGUGCAUAAAACCUCUGGUUCAACUUCUCCCUCCUCUGCCUCUCUGCCUCCACAUGAUUCAGAGGCUCUUCUCUUCCAUUGGCAGGCUUCCUUCCUCGCUUCCUUGGCUUUUUCUCAGGGUCAACAACUCUACUACUGUCAGCUUCCUUCGCCACUGACGCCUCAAGGUCCGAAUGAUCUGAAUCUCCACCGCCACCACUAGACUUCACCACACCUGAAGAUGGCAAAAUCACACCUGAAGUAAAUGAAAGCAUCCCUUCAUCAUUACUUCCCCUCGAGACAGGUGACCUUUUCUUGCUCUUACUUUCAUCACCAACCCCAAACGGUGAUUGACCUGAAAAUAAAUUCCCAUUUGCACAACAACUCCUCUUUGCAGUACUUUCACCCCCAAAGUUCAAGAUUUCCCCUGACUCCGGCUUACAAGUUGCAUUCCUAACACUAUUUCCCUCAAACCCAUAUUCUGAAAAAUUCAUUUCCCUUGUAUAAAACCCUCCCGACUGCUGGGAUGAAUUAUGAUGAGCAUUUAGGAUAUUCCCAGGAUUAUCAGUCAAAGUACUAGAACUUGGGUUAUUAUCAUUUCCAAACAACAUCUGCUUAUUAUUCGCACUAGAAGGAAUUGAACUCCCUUGGCCAGUGGUGUUAUUAUUGUUAUUAACACUUUCUUUAACCCCAGCAGCUGAAGAUGAUGGAUCAGUAAGCCAAAGUGCUGAAGGAUCGCUCUCGGGCUGAACUGGCCAAGAGCCAGAACCCGAGCCCGAACCCAUGUCCAUAUUAUUGAAGUUGAAGAGUACCCUAACCUUAUUCAUUAGAUCAGAGCUCUGAAAGAUCAACUCCGUGGAACCCAGCUCAACGACGCCGUUUGCUGAGGGGAUACAAACCAAAGUCUGAAGCCCAAAACCCUGAGCUUGCUGGGCCCUUUCGCAGUGAGAGCUCGCCAGCCUGUCUGCGCCUGCGACCCAAACCGGGCUUGAAUUAUACAAAGCCUGGCCCGGAAGCCCGCUUCCGUUUACAAAAGAUUGAGUCAUGGAGAUUAGGAAGAACCACUCAGUAUCAGUGACCUCCUCAUCGACAGCAUCGUCGGAGGAGCCCUGUGGACCCGCAAUCAACGAAUUGAGCUCCCGGAGCACCUUUUUCCGGUGCUCCUGUUCGAGUAGUGAAUUAGUGGAAGACGAAGAAAGCGGAUUCUUCCGCUUCCCUUUAUCUUCUUCCCCUCUGUAGUACCCGUCGCCCCACCCCAAUACAGAUGGGCCGCCGCAAUCCACCACCGACGACUGCCAGAAUAUAGCAUAAGUCCAGUACUCCUGAGCACCAUCAAUCAGAGUCUGCAGGCGCUGCUGGAGCGUUUCCUGGUUGAAGAAUGAAGACGAGGGAAGGGAUUUGGAGGAGGAAUCCAUACCACCGCCACCUGCAGCAGUGAUAGUUGAGGAAGUUGUCGAAGGAAUGCUCUGGUGAAUACUCAUAGGCGGCCAUAAAGACCCCGGAUCCGCCGAGUUCAUAAAGACCUCCAUCAUGGACGUAUUAUCAUCACUGGUCAGCGAUGUCGGGGUUUGAUUUCCCCAUAGAUUCAUCUUCGUGUGAACUCGAUAAUCAGUCAUUCCAUCCACCAUCAAAGUAACAAACCUUGUAGAUGCAGAAUUGCUGAAAGAAAGAUGGUGGGAAGAGGAAGAAGAGCAGUAGUGGGAAUUGAGAGUAGUGAGUCAGAGGAAGAGACGAAGGUGGAGAGAACUGUGGUGAGGGGCGGCUAGCGGUUGGGGAAGAGAAAGAGAUAUGAUGAUGGGCAACAGAAGAGGAACAGGAUGGGGAGAGUAUUCGGUGGGGUUGGGGAAGUAAAUUUGAUUUGGGUUUGGGAUUUAUUUGAGGCGAAUUUGAGCUGAAUUUAGUUUGGGAGAGAGGAGAAUGGACAAAAAUGAAAAAGGGACUGCGGCGGGUUCCACGAAGGCGAUCCGCCGAUUUAAUCGUGGCGUCUACUAUUUUCAGUGGUAGCCGGCGCUUUUCACCGUAGCCCUACCACAGUAAUGUAUUCCACUGUGGUAGUGUACCGCGCUAGUAAGUAAAUUACUAGUAAACCUUACUAAGCACCGUGGACUCCAAUCCAUACACCACUAUUAACAUUGGACCAGCAUAUACCAUAUACUACUACUACAAAAAGUGCUAUUCUAAUUUUAGCCCUAAUUCCACGGGAUAAACUACAAUUUUAUUUAUUUAUUUUUCUUUUGUAAAUGAGAGGUACUGAAUCUAUAAUUUCUUACUUAUAAUUUCUCCUACUUUACUACAGAUAAACUACGUUUUAAGCGUUAAUUUGUUUCAUAAGAGUUUAAUUUAUUCUAUAUGGGAUGUACGUGAUUUAGAAAUGGGUGACUGAUAGCGUUCGAAUUUACAAUGUAUCAUCCACUCUAUUCUUAUUGUUUGCUUCUUUUUGUGCUGGUAAGGUAAUAUUAGAAAGAGUCUUGCUAAAUUUGUUCAGCCUAAUCAUGUGCCUCUCACAUGCAUUAUUUCUAUAUUUUGAUGAAAAAAAAAAGAUUUCACCAAAGAAGAAGUGGGAAGACAGGAAGGAGGGUGAGUAACUAGUUUGAGAUGAAAUCAAGGUAUAAAAUCCUUUUACUUGUGUUUGAAGGGUAACAUGGAGGGAUAUUGGCUUACGUUUGUUUAGCUACAUUGAUCUUCAAAGGGAUGUAAUUUGGGUUUAAUUAGAUAUCAUUGAGUCGAACAUAGAAAGUCAAUCUCUGAAAUUAAGAUGUUAUGACCUUAGGAGAUCGGUCAUGUAAGAGUUAAGAUUGAGUCUGCAAUUUGAUCUUACUGGCUUUAAUGAGUAAAAGGAAAUGAAUGAAAUGGAAAAAGAAAGGAAAUGAUUACUAAUGUCUGAAUCAGGUAAUGAUCUUUGAACAACUUAUUUUGGAACAAAAAUCCCCAUAAGGAAGGCCUAAAGAUCAAGAUCCUUGCAUCAUAAUUAUGCACAACUUAUUCGAAAACGUUAUAAAGAUAUUUGUUGCCACCAUCCAUAUAAGAAGUGGAUUGUCUAGCAUAUGAAUAGUUUUUACCAAAUUUAUCAAACAUGGAUGAGUCUUGUUCCAAAUUUCCAAUCAUCACAAGAAAGAAGUUGCAUUCUAAUUUGACAUGCCCCCAUUUACAAUUUUGGUGAAAUGACAUUUUUCUUCUCAUGAAUUCGAGAUUCUACUUGUUACAUCCUCACUGAAAGGGAAAAAUUGUUAGUAAGAAAGAAAAAAUAUAUAUAUUAAAAGCCAUUAACAAGGGGUCUUUUUGAAUUGGAGAUUUUUUUUUUUUUUUUAGAAUAAAAGGGUGGAGUAUGUGAAAUGAAAAGUGGUUAAAAAUAUAUUUAUGAUACAACAAAAAAAAUUUGGGAAGAAAUCUCAGUCCAAAGUAACCAUUUUUUUGCCAUACUAUAUAGUUUACAAUUGAUUUUGUACAUAGCAAGUUAAUCAGUGGAUUUUCCUUUCACAGAGGUAAAGAUUUCUUUAUUCUAUGUUACUUUAGGUGGAAAAUUCGAAUAGUAACGUGUCUUGAGUUAUUAACUUGCAAUAAAAUGUAGGCAUAGUGAGAUACUUAAAAGAAUAAGCAAAAUAAAUUAAUUAAAGGAAGUUAAGAUUUAAAGGCACUCCAAAUGAAGUUCUGAUGCAAGUACUUUUCACUCCCAAAUCUGGCCUUUGUUUUUUACCCUCCAAACCGUAUAAUUCCAUCAAAGCCUAAGUCAAGUCUAUACAGGAAGAGAAAAUUGAGCAAAAGAUUUAUAUAAAAAAUUGUUCUAUAGGUUUAAUCCAUGUGUGUAUGUAUAGGAUUAAUCUUUUACACACUGACAAUAUAUACAUCAUCAUCAUUAGAUGUAUGACAACUCAUUUAAAUUCCAAAUUUUACUCAUAUAGGAUUAAUCUUCUACACACUAACAAUAUAUAUAUCAUCACCAUUGGAUGUAUGACAACUCAUUUAAAUUCCAAAUUUUACUCAUAUGUCAUGCAUCCAGUGUCAUGCAUCCAACUGUCAGUGUAUAUAAUUUUUACUCAUAUACAUAUAUAUAUAAACUUACUGAAUGUUCAUGUAUAUAAUUAUUUUUAUAUAUAUGUGUGUAUGUGUGUAGUGUCUAUGCGUACAAAAAUUUACAUAGUCAGUAUGGUGUUGACUAUGGUUAGAAAGCUCCAAGAGGAAUCCAUUGUCAUGUUAUUUAAUCAUUGGGAUAAUUUCAGAAACCUCCUCUGAAAUUUCUCAUAAUAUCUCUCAGCUCUUUUGAGGUUUUUAAAAUCUCACUUAUCUCCCUUAAAUUGACAUUUCUUGUAACAUUUUAACCCAUUUAGAGAAAAUACGAGAAAGAAAAAACUUUUGUUCCAACACUACCCUUAUAUUAGCUUACUUAUGACAUUUAUAACAACAAUAAAAAAAUAAAAUAAGGUUAAAUUUUUAUAAGGUAUAAAUUUCUUGACGUAAACGAUUUAUUUUAGUUGUAUCGAAACAAAAGCAAAAUUUAAACCUUGAAAAAUUCACACAUAUGAAGAAAUUAUUUUAGUUUUCAAUACAACUUAAACUAUACUAUGGAUUGAAACAUAUUUUCCCAAAAAAUAUCUUGACUUCCUUAAUUGUAACUGUGCACGAAAUUUUUUAAGGUAUUAAUUACUCACCAAAGUCCUCUUAAGUGAUUGAUCUUGACUAAAUUUAAUUUAUCCACAUCCUUUGCUAUCCCACCAUGACCCCAAUGUAAAGAAAUAUCGACCAUUAUAAGCUAGUAAUUUGUUUUUUCUUUUAAUUUACACUUUUUGGUUUAAAAUUUUAUUUUAUUUUGGAUUUUUGGUUAAAUAGUUAUUAAGAGCAAGAGUAAUGUUGUCAAUUUGUGACCUUUUAUAGGAAUAUUUAAUCUUGUAAAAUUGACAAGGGAGGUAAGUGAGAUUUUAAAACUUCAGGAAAACUGAGUGAUUUAUAAUAAACUUCAGGGGAGGUUUCUAAAAUUAUCCCUUAAUAUGUACUGGUCUUGCACAAAGUUAGUAACUUAUUGUCUCAUAUGUAUAAACAUGAUUUGUUCACGCAACAGUCUUUACUCUUUAAAGGUAGUAUGAUAUCCUCGUCAUAGUAUCCCCCUUCGUAAAUGAGAAAGCAAAAUGCAUAUGAAUUCAUGCCUUCAACGGCCUGUUUCUUCCUCUAACUGGUCAAGUAUUCGAAAGAGAAUCAAUCAUAUUCACAAGUUUUUUACCACAAGCAUUUCGUUUUCUUUUAAGCAUGACUAAUGGAAAUUUUAUCACAAUUUGAUACGAUUGUUGAAAUCUAGUAUUUAACAUCAUCCCUUGUGGUGACCAGUGGCUUGCCGGAGUUAUCUAUGAUUUCGAAAAUAUAUUUUAAUCCAUGAUACUGAUGUAGAUUGAAUCCAUCCAAACUUUACCACAAAAAAAAAAAAAAAAAUCAUCCCUUGUGCUUCCAAAAGUCAUUAGAUCACUGUUAGUAAGUUCAAAACUAUGUUUUAUAGAAUCUUAAUUCGAAUUUUUGAAGCCUCAAAUGUGAGCUUUGGCAUCAAUUCCUUUACAUCUCCAUUCUUGGCGGGUUGUCCCUCGCAAAUACAAUAUUAAAGUGUUAAACCAACAUAGGACUUGAUCUCGUGUCCAAUUAAAAAAAUUAAUAAUUAAAGUUUCACAAUGGCUAACUAUUUCAAAUAUUUGUUUCAAAUAACUCGAGAAUUGGCACCCUCAAGAUAAUUCUUUUGCUUAAAUUUUAUCCAAAUUUUACCUCAUACUCAAUAAGUAACCCAAAUUUCUAUCCCCUUUUGUUUGGAUUGUGAAUUAUUUUCAAAUUUUAUUUACUUGUAACAUCAACACAUUUUUUAACUAUAUUUUUAUCUCACAUACAUCACUUAAAAAAAAUGCUACUCAAAGGGUCCAAAAGUUUCGUACAUAUGCUUUUUCUUCCUUCCUCUUGGUUUGUGACAUGGAAGCAUAUAGGAGGCACAAUUUAUACAAGCAUCUCUUUAACCUAAUUUAUCUUAAUUUUGACAUUUCUUAUGAAUUUUUUUUCACUGCAGGUGAGAUUCGAAUCCCCACCUAUAUGCCAGACAGGAAUCUAGUCCCUUUUUUAUAACCACCGACCUUUGGCUCAGUGGUUUAUAUAAGCAUCUCACAAACUAGAAAAUUAAACAAUUUGGGGUUGGGACCUAAUUCCAUUCUACCGUUGGUUUGGGAAUCGUCACAUGAGUGCCCAAUUGCAUAUCUUAUCUCUAUUGGCUAGUUGUAGUUUCAGCUUUCCAAGAAAUAGCCGCCAGCAGCAAAACGCAAAACCAAUUCCUCGUCGGCUGUGAGCUCAAUUAAUCGGCUAGUUAUUGGUCCACGAAAGCGACAACACAACCACUUCAUCUGGAUCUAUCUUUAACUGAAUAGUUAUCUUUUCUACUACCACUUUUUGAUAAAAGUAAAUUUUAUUGGCAUAUUGUUGAAAAUCAUUUAGUACGGUUUAAUUUACAUUAUCUUCCUAAUAAUAGAUCAAAUAUAUAUUAAAAAUUUAUAAUUUAUAAUUUAAUAGAUACGAUACAUUUGAAAAAUUUUCAACAAAUCUAAAUAAUACAAGAAAUUUCUACGAUUUUGAUAUUUAAGUUCCACUAUAUUAACCUAACAUAAAAAAUUUGUCAUAAUUAUAGAAUUUCCUCUAAUCUUUUAGAGUUCUAAUAACCACUUUGAUAAAUAUUUUAUUAGAACCUUUACAACUAUUUUUAUAAAACAUGAUAAAGUAAGAGAAGUAAAGGAUUGGAGUCUGAUUCUACUACUAGCCGCCAUAAACAAAUAAAAAAUCCUUAAUAACUAAAAAUCUUUUUAAUUGUCUACUCAUUAGCAUUUUACUCAUAUAUUUAAAUUUUCAAUGAAUUAUAUAUUCAUUAUUUCAUGUGUUUUGUGCAUGUGAUGUGAAGCUAGAAGAUAAUAUAGUACAACAUACCAAAGACAAAUCUCAAUAUGAAUGUGACUUAUUCUCAAUCCUAACCUUUCCCAAGUAAUGUGCUAAGCAAACAAACCCAAUUGUCAAAAAUAAAAGUGGAGAACCAAAUUGGCUUAAUAAUAAAAGUUAAAGAGUGACAUUCAUAAAUUAAAGUUAAUGGACCAAAAGUGAAUCAGUAGACAAGUCUGAGGACUAUUUCGGCAAUUUACCCCAUUAUGGAGUAAUGUAGUACUGUAGUACAAGACAAAUAGCAUAAGGUCGUCAUCACUCAUCAGGACCAAACGUGCUUAUGCAUGCCAGAAAAUGUAGGUGGGAACGACAGGGAUGAGACUAAAUCCUGACCGUCGAUUGUGUCUUCGCUACAUCCAGAUUCCGCGAGUGAAAAACAAUUAUUAUUAAAUAUAUAAACAACACUAAAAUUUUAUUGUCCACGUUUUGCUUGAUGCGUGGCGUGAAAAUGACGAGGAGCAAUUCUUUAUUUGUUGGGCCACGUUUGGAUGAUCCUUUAAAAUGCGGAAAGCCAACCCCACUUCCACAUUAUUGUCUAUUUGCUUCGUCAUCCUUUAAUUAUAGAUUACCUUCCCCCUUGUUUCGGGGGUAUUUCUCGACAGGAAGUCUGCAGAGUUAAAUCAUAUUUUACUAAUAUUUUACACUUUUUUUCUAUGCACUUUUUUUUUUUUUUUAUCAUUCGUCGCUUUUUAUCUAUAUCCUAAUCUAUCUAGGUGGAGACACAACUGGACCUACGGACAAGUGGGGACUGAAACACCACCGUACUUAUUACUAGCACAAAAAGUUCUUUCCUUUUCCUCUCUCUAUCUCUCUAUCUCUCUUCUCUUUUCUCUCUCUCUCUCUUAUUUUUUUAUGUACACAUUGUACUAGUAGGUUUUGUUGUUAAUGAAGUAGAGAAAUACUAUGUGAUUAUAGUUGAUAAAUGCUUACAUAAAAUUGGUUUUUUUUUUCAAAGUGGGCAUUCAUUAAAAUACAGCUCAGGAAUUAAAUUUUUUAAAAAAUAAAAUUAUUUAGACAAAGUGUAUAAAUGUAAAAGAUAUCAUGAUAAUUGUUAGUGUAUGGGUCUGUUUGGCAAAUAAGUUUUUGGUCAAGUUUAUCUGUUACAAGUUUUUUAAUAACUUUAACUACAGUAAUCUGAAAAAACUUCUCAAAGUAUUUAAACUAUAUAUUUCAAAAUAUUCAAAAAUUUACACUCUUCAAAAAAUUUUCCUAUAACUUCUACAGUAAAUCAUAAUCAAGUUUUAAACAAAUAUCCAAAAAACUCAUUUACUAAACGGGCCUAUGUAUAUACAUGAUGAGUUGAAUAUGAUUUAAAUAUAUUAACGAGUGCUCAUCAAUGUUCUCGGAGAUUUUUUUUUUCAGUCAAUAAGUACACUGAACUUGGGUGGAUACGGAUGGGGUGGCUCACAUGGGGGUUGGAAAAAAAAAGGUGCACGGAAUUGUUGAUUUUCUCAUUUAAUUUUAAGCAUAUUUUUGGGCCUUAGUCAAAUGGGAAAUAAUAGAGUAAUAAUCUCAAAUUAAGUAAAGAACAUAUAGCUAUCUUUUUUCAGUUUACGUGUAUUAUUUUACUCGUGUCGACUUUUGACCGUUUCAAUUUUUUGGUAGGUGGUCAUGAAUAAUUUUCGUUAAAUCUUUUAUUAUUGAUUUUAUGCUUUUAUCUAUAACAUGCAUGACGAUGGAACAAUUUCUCUUAAUUAGUUCCCUACAACCUGUGGUAUCAUUAGAAAAUCUCUUGUCGCUAUUCAAGUUGGACGAAAGGAAUUUACAUUAGCAAGCAAAAUCUAAUUUUUUUUUAUUAUCGUUUUAUCUUGCUGUUCACUAUUUGAUUAUUUCUAGCUAGUCAAUCCAUUAUUAUCUUUUUGCUUUUGGGAUGAUCAGGCUAAAAGUUGGCAAAACCCUACCUUAUUCUUUAUUUUAAUUUAUAUAUAUAUUUAUAUAUAUUGGAUAAAGUAACCCUUGCAAUGUAAUCUUGGAAAAUCUAAUUAGCGUAAGCAACAAGAAGUAAAAUGUUGAUGACUUUUUGUUUUGAAUAGACUACGAUGUUUCCUAUGGAAUUUUAGAAUGCCAAUGAUUGCCUUUGUUGAGCCAAAAUUCCAUACCAAAAUUCCCCUUACUAAAUUGAUCCCUCCAUACAUAAUGAAAAUGACAAUUAUAUGUGCCCACGUGUUAGAGGAAGCUACAAACAUUACGGAAUUGAAGAAGAAGAAGAAACAAUUUGAUGCAGUUUUUCAGCAUUUGCUAGCAAGGACAAUAGUAGUAAUAGUCAAAGAUAAGACUAGAAAGGAGUAAUAAAAUUUUGGGUUAAUUCCACUUUGUCCCCCAAAAUUUUGGACGAUUACCCACUUCAGUCCCUAAACUUAUAAAAUGUGACACUUAAAUCCCUAAACCCUUAUAAAAUGGGACACUUCGACCACCAACGGCAUUCAGGAUUUGUUAACAAUUUUCCUUAAGUGUGAUGUAUUUAUAAGUUUAGGGACUUAAGUGUCCCAUUUUGAAGUUUAGGGACUGAAGUGGGUAAUCGUCCAAAGUUUGGGGGGACAAAGUGGUAUUAACCCUAAAAUUUUACUAAAAUUGCACAUAGGAAGGGAGUACAAUGAUGAUGUAACAUACUACUUGGAAAAAUCCAUGCUUGAUGGCAACCCUAAACCCCACUAUGAUUAAGCACCUAUUUAAUACAUUGCAGUAUUGAUAAAACCUUUGCAAAUACAACAAGGCUGACAACAACAUGAUUACAUUUAGAACUUGCAAACAAUAAUGACUAAUAACCAAAAGCUUAAAUUUUAAUAAAAGCUUGUUUGAAUUUCUUUCUUACGUGACAUCACUUGAAUAAAUUCACCAAGCAUCACUCAAAGUGGGCUACAAAGUAGAUUUGCACCAAUGUUGAGUACAUGGACAAAAAUGAGAUUUAUUAUGCGUCUACAACUUUCUUGCUAGUUUGUUUGCAUGGGACAGGGUUUAUCCGGUGUGCAUUUUCGAGCAGCGAUUGUGAACUCCCUUAUCAACAAAAACUUUCUUGCUAAUUUGUUUGUGCAUUCAUGCGGCAACCAUUGGUAGUUGUGGGAAUGGGCGUCUUGAUUGCUGUGAAGUCCACGUUUCAUCUCUACAAUUUGGAUCGCAAUUCUCUGGAGAAAAAAUUUUACAUUUUUCGCGAACACAUUUCUGAAUAACCUUUUUAUUACAUAUAGCAAUAAUUAUAGUGCUUUUUUUUAAACAAAAACUCUUACAAAAUAAUAAUCCAAAGAAGCUAUAAAUUUUUGGACUUAAAAGAGACUAACCUUUACCCAGUAAUGGAUGUAAACGUUGUUUGCCAUAAUAGGCAAAUUAAAUUACAAUGUUUCAUAGUAAAAAAAAUUGAGCCAUAAAAAUAUUUGAUGUGUCUAAACUGUACUUUAGCAUGCAAACGAGGUGUUUUUUUAAAAGAUAAAUAUUUUUGUAGACUCCGGUUUUACCUUGAAUCAGAUAUAACGAGCUUCAAUACCGCAUUCAUAUGUAUGCUAAAAUAGCAUAAAGAUGUAACUAUCCAAGAAACAAAUUUCUAAUGUAUCAUCUACUGCAUCGGGGUCUACAAAAAAUUUUUUUGUUGGGUUGCUUGUGAUCCUCAAAUAAAAGAUAAGUACAAGAAUAGACUUGGAUGGGCACAUGAAACAUUUCUUGCUAAUUAGAAAUUCCAAGAGGACCAUCAACUUGGGAAGAGGAGUAUAUGCUACAGAAAGUAGGAGAGGAGAUAAUAUAUGCUUGUGGGCCAAUGAUUAGUUGAGUGGAGAUUGAGAAGGAUAAACUGACAAAGAUACAGUUGAUCAUCCUAACUACUUGAUUAAUAAUAAUCAGCUGGGCAGUGUUUAACAAACAUGCUUCGUUGAUUAUGGAAUUAUUAUAUCAUGCAAAAAUUAUUUUUUAUUUUUUUAUGAAAAAAUAUGUUAAUUAAUGAGCAAUCAUGUUGGGCCAAAUCAUGUUGACACUAAGACUCCUUAAGAUAUAUUUUUAAGUGUCAUAUUUUUUGAAAAUAUAAGAUUAAUUUGGGAAAGUAAAUAAAUACAAGGAAGGGUAGGAAAGAUUAAAGAGGGAAAGUAUAUAAAUACAAGGAAGAGUAAUAAUUGUUAGUGUAUAAAUAUAUAUAUAUAGUAGGUUAAUUGAAUAUUAGGUGUGUUAACGACAUCCUAUUAGAAAAACCCAUACAUUAUCAAGCAGUCAGGUUAAUGAGCAAUGCAAAUAACUUCACAUUCAAACUGAUUGAUACUAUUUGGCCUUUUGUUGGGCAAAAGAAACCCAUAUUUUAAGCUCAAUGCAAUUUUAUUAUUGAAUUAUCACAACUGUGAAGCUAAUUUUGUAUGAAGAGAAAGUCGUUGCAGUUAGUGAAAAUCCCUUUCUCCUUCCAAGUUGAGGGCUGCUAUCUUCUUUUUCCUCCAUGUACAUUGAAGCGGCACAGAAUAAACAAAAUUAAGGAGACUAAAAAAUUGUCAGUGGGCAACAGACUUUUCAUGAAUUGCAUUAUUCAAGUACAAAUUGCACAUUAUUUUAAUCACCAUUCUAGGGAUCACUAGCUUGUGAAAUGGCUUUGAUUAGAGAGUUCCUACCUGCUCAAUAUCUAAUUAAGUAAUGGCGGGAGAUCUGAUGCCUUUGUAUAUUAAUCCACUUUGAUGUUAUUACAUAUAAACUUUGAUAAUAGCUUAUGACAUUUUCUUUGUUAAUUAUCGUUACUGCGAUAAUAUAUUGGUCCACCUAAUAUGCCACGCCAAUAUAUUGUUUACCUUAGAUUUAAUCAGUUGUCUAACUUACAAAUCUCAAUGACAUAAAAGAAUAUUUCCACGCAGCAAGACCAAAAUUUAUAGUGUCUAAUUAGUAAUUAAUCUUCAUGAAUAACUACUAAUCAAUCUAUGCACUUGUUACUUUGAUCACAUGCACUUGAGGGUAGGCAAUUGCUCCCCUCGGAUAGUAUGAAAUUAUAGAAAAGGCUUAUUGUGUAAUUUUGUAGUGUUUUUGCUUUUAUACCUUAUUUGUCCCUCACCAAUUUUUUAAAAACACUUAUCUGCUCCCUUCAUAUCAAUAAUUUUGUAAAGUUCUCUUAGUUAGACCCUUAACAUUUACAAAAUUCACAUAUUUAUAUACAUCUCUUCCUUCAAAUUACUAAAAUUCUAUCCUAAUGUAAAAUACUACAUACUUCACUUUAUAAAAUAAAAAAAAAUCAACCUUUAUUAGUUUAAGCAUAAGUAUGAUGUUAAUUAUAAGGAUUAAUUUUUCAUACACUAGCAAUGUAUAUACUAUCAGCCUUUGAUGAAUGACAACUAUACAAAAUUUGAAUUUGAAAUCCAAUUUUUACACAUGUGUCAUGAAUCCAACGAUAAUAUUAUAUAUACUCACUGUGUGUGUAAGAUUUAUUUUAAUUAUAAUUCUAAAACAAUAAUUUAUAUAUAAGAGAUAUGCAAUGAUCCACAUUGAAAAUUUAAUUCUAUUACAAAAAUUAUAUAUCGAGAGUUGCCCUCUAUUUACACACAGGUCCUAGUUUCGCCACUAACAUUAACACCGUUCUUUUAGAAAGGAUAUUUAUACAAGGGAUAGUUACAUAUGGUCAAUUUAUUUCUUACUAUGCAGUUUAAACUCUCCCAACACACAGAGUUGAAAAAAAAAAAAAAGGUGACAUGAUAGGAAUAGAAGAAAAGAAAGUGUAUUUGAUAGUGCUGACUGAGUUUUUUUUUUUGGAUGUGAUAUAAUCAGCAUAUGCUGACUGUAAAAACACGUGUAUGAUGCAAUUAUUUAUAAUGAUUAAACCAACCCACGAAAGAAAUCGCUUCAACCGAUACGCAGAAGUCGUGGGGCAUGUGCAGGGACGAGAAUAAUUAAAUUGUAACUUGUAGGGCGACUUUAGCGUGCAAAUUGGCUUUAAAAACGUUGGCCUUGACCGCUAUCAAUGGAUUAGAACAGUAAUCUUAUCUUAUAAUUAUAUAAAUGAAAGAAAUCUGGUUGGAUGUCAGCAGCAACACGAUGGCUCACCUAACCAAAGACAAAAAUUUUCUGGAGCUUUGACCUAAAAUGACUAGAAUAAAUGAAUCUGAUAUUGUUGGGUUUCUUUUAGGUGGAUUUGAAUCUAAGCAAUUUCUCUCAUAGUCAGAAUUAUGCUAAAUGAGUGAAUUGAAGAACGUCUUCUUGUGAGUUGGAUAAGGAAAAAUUUUAAUGUUUUUCAUAAACACAUUUUCAAUCACAUUUUUACUAUAUGUACAUCAAAUUAUUAUAAUAUAUUUAUCUAUAAAAAUUUCAAAAAAUAACUAUCCAAUCCCUUGAUUGUUCAAAACCUACUAGUCUGUUUUUUUGUGGCAAAGAAAAAAGGCAACAAGGGAAUUAAACUAUAGUUCCAUUUCCAGCAAUAGCUUCUUUUUUUCUUUUUUUUUUUCGAUUGUCAUCUCUACUCCUACUCCUACUCUAGCAAUAGCUUCUUAUUGUUUCAUAUCACAAAAGGUGUCAUGUCAUGGCAAGAAGCUUCUUAUAGUUUCAUGACACCUUUUAUAACACCUUUUUGUAACACCUUUUGUGAUAUGAAACUAUAAGAAGCUAUUGCUGGAAAUGGAACUAUAGUUUAAAAAGAAACUAUCCAAUCGUUAUAAUAUACGAUUUUAAAGGAAAUGUACAUCAAAUCGUGUAAUAUAUUUAUCUAUAAAAAUUUCAAAAAAUAACUAUCCAAUCCCUUGAUUGUUCAAAACCUACUAGGCUGUUUUUUUUUUGUGGCAAAGAAAAAGUCAAAAAGGGAAUUAAAAAGAAACUAUCCAAUCGUUAUAAUAUACGAUUUUAAAGGAAAUGUACAUCAAAUCGUGUAAUAUAUUUAUCUAUAAAAAUUUCAAAAAAUAACUAUCCAAUCCCUUGAUUGUUCAAAACCUACUAGGCUGUUUUUUUUUUGUGGCAAAGAAAAAGUCAAAAAGGGAAUUAAAUCGGAACCCAUGAUUAAAAAAGUAGGAAUCAUUAAAGUUGAUGCUUGGAUAACCUUUGAAUGUUGUACUUCCUUCCACUCAAUUAUGUUUGACACAUCAAAUAAGCCUCCUCAAUAAUUGAGGUCCGAUAUUCUUUAGGCAAGAGCCGUAUACAACAAAAAUCCACACAUCAAAAGAUGCUAAUAGGUGUAUUAUUCCUAGAGCUUUAUUGAUUGCCCUUUAAUCACACAAAAUUAAAAUCUUUUCCUUGGCUACUUUAUUUGGCUUAGUUGUUUCUAUUAUUCUGUUCUUCUUUCAGCCUACAUUAAUCACAUUUUUUAAGCGUACCAAAAUCUACGUAAGGAAGGUUAACAAGAGUAAAAUAAAGAAAGAAAAUGACUCUUUCUUUCUUUCUUUUUCUUUUUUUUUGCUCCCAUUUUUGAAUAAUAGGAAAGAAAAGGACUUCUUGGUGUAAAUAUUAAUUUAAUUAGAGCAAUCUUAUCUGUAAUUUCCAAAUAAUUUGUUUUAGAGGGACCAUCAUCCCAAAACUAGGAUCUGUAACCACGCUAACAUAUAUCUUGUGGUUGUAUUUUAAUCCCUAGGUUUUAUCAUGAUUAAUAGCAAGACGCUUGAAGUCUAUCGCUUUCUAUUGUCUUUAAAGCACUAAAAACCAAAGUUGAAUAUUUCCAUUGGUACUCGUUGGUUGAUCUACCGUUUCAUUAUUCAAGGUGGAAUCUGGAAGCCCACCCACUAAUACUCUGCAGUUACAUUUUUUUUAAUAUACGAUUUAACAAGAUUAAUAUUGAUAGAAACGUGUUUGGAUUGCUAUUUUUAUACAAAUUUUUUUUUUAAGUUUUUGAAGGAUAAUAUUUAAUAUAUUUUUUAAUCAUCUUUUAAUCUCACAUGCAUUAUUUUUUUGUAUAAUUUUUCCGGGCAGGGAGGUGGGGUGGAAUUCAAGAAGCAAGAAAGAAAUAGGGACAUUGGAGUCACGUACAUUGUAUCUCGAAAAGUACUAUGACAUUGUUUUUGCUUUCAAAAACCCUAACAAAAAUGCAAUCCAAGCGGCCUCACUCUUUGAAGUGACUCUGCGUGGAUGUGUACGUAUCAAUUAACCAAUAUAGAGGAGUGCUUGAAUUUUCUUUUCCCUUUUUUCUGCCCUUCUUUCCUUCAUGUUUUCUUAUUUUUUAUGUUUGUUCAAGUUCAAUUUUUUUUUUUUGUGCUACCUGGACUUGGAAUAAGAAAUGCCUCAAUUCUUAGAACUAACACUUUAACCAUAACUUUACCUUGUGCAAUUCAAUAAUUGAAACACAGCAAACCCACAUUUCUUUGUAGAGUGCAAGGGUUUUAAAUCGUAGUAUGGUAUGAAUCAAUCAGUUAUUAAGUGUACUAAUCUGGCAUGAUCAUGUGUUUUCAUAAUAAUUAGGUUGAGAACUUAUGACUUUCUAUACCGGGCAAGGGCGAUGUUCCCCAUCCGUUUUUGUUUACCCCAUAUUAUCAAUUUUUUUAAAAAUUGUUCUAAUUAUAAGUAGUAAAUCACUUAAUUACCAUAGAAGAAUGAUAUUUUGCACUUCCAGCUAUUUUAGAAUUUAGACGGUCGGAAAAUAAAGAAAAUUAAUGGGUUCAAUGAAAUAGUUAGAACCUAGCUUAAUUAACUCAGACUUCGCAUUUUGCUGACAUGAAUUAUGAAAAAUCAUAUUUAUGAAUUGGUUUAUCAUUUUGUAGUAUCAUUUUGUAGUAUCAAUAGAUGCGUGCAGCAUUACUCAUAUUUGUCCUGGCCAAAAUUUGCCAAUAAUAUCUAAACAAAUUAUGCUGGCAAAUUUACAUGAGUGGCUCUAAAAAUUGGAGCAUAAUCCAAAUUCGAGACUGAAUGGUAAUUCUUUGAAAGGAUGUUGACAUCUCGUCUAAUUUGAUUGUAGGCUUCAGAAGAUGUUGUAAUUUUGCUAAUAAUGAUUGACGGGACAUUGUUUUGCUGGAAAUUUUUUGGACCCUUCUAAGUUUGUACAAAUAUAUUUUGCACGAAAACAAUAAAAUAAAAAGAUUUUUUUAAUUUUUUCAGCAAGAAAAAAGUGGGAUUUAAAAGGAGGGAAUUUGAAAAGAAAAAUAAAAGGAGACAGAAACUGAAAGGCUAGUCUUCCUAACAAAGUUAGUACCUCAGGAAAGAUUCAUAUGUCUGGAGUCGGUACUCCAUGUCUUAUGGUCGUAAAUUUAUCUCUUGGAAUACAUAAAUUAAGCUUUCACUUCAGUAUAAAAUAGAAUCUAAACAAAUCGCGUUCAACAAUUUUUAAUUAAUGUAUUAAUAAUAUUGACUUCUGUUUUAUCCAAAAAAAAAAAAAAUCUAAACAUGUCAUUGAUAAGAAUGAAGGUAAUUAACAUAAGGUUUUGUGGUUUUGGAGAAAAUUACAAUUAAUGAGACUUAAUCAUGAAUAGCUUUUUGGUACACUUUAAGAUAUUGGACAAGCAAAAAGCUGUUAUUGUCUAGCUUGUUAAAUCCGCAAUUUUCUCCAAAUGUUGUAUGAAACAACUCACAUGUAGUCCAAGAGAGUCCACUCUUUUGGAGGAUAAUGCAAGAAAAGUGUUAAAAAGUAGUACCACAAAUUAUGGGGAAAAAUACACAAACAUUCACUGAAUUGAGUACUAUAAUAGGUGACAACAGUCAUAAUUCAUAAUUAUGGGUAUCUUUGUAAAGAACAUUAAAUCGCUAUUUUAGGAAACAUUUUGCAACGAAGAAAGACCGUAUGUAGGUUUUUUUUUUUUUUUUGGAGGGUUGAAGCUACCUGUGUUUGGCAAAUGUUGCUUCCACUGCGUGGUUUUUUAUGCUAAUAAGUUGUAUCAGAAUCCAAUAUUCAAGAGUUUGAUUUUGGGAUAUUUGUGGAACCUGGAGGGUGUACAAAAUUUUUGAUAGAGGAACUUGUACCAUAGAAGGAUACAGAGAUUGUGGUAGAGUACUCGUAUAUUGAAGAAUUGGAUCAUGAGAAUUGGUCUUGGAGUACUCAUUCAUUGAUUGAAAUUAGGGAAAAGUGACCCUAAUUGAACAGAAGUCCAUAAAAAGGAAUUCUGUUGAGAUUGUUGGUAUUGUGCAGUGAUCAGGGAAAAAGAUCCUGCCAGAUUAUUGAUUGUCACAAUAGUGUUUGAUCAAGUUUGGAGCCAGGGAAGUCAAGAAAUUCAAGUAGGGAAGAAAAAUUUUGUGAAAGUACGUAAAUUGUUUUGAAUUGCCAUAGAUAGAGAAUUUGUCAAUGGUAAAAAUUAUUAUCGUAAAAAAGAUUAUGAAAGGCAUGAUUUAUUAAUUGAAAGUUACGUGGAUUGUUAUUCAAGAAAAUAUGGUGGUUCUAAUUGCAAAUAGAUUAAUAUGGAUGACUUUUUUGAUCUAGAAGAAUUAGCAACAAAAUUGUAUACAGUAUGCAUAAGUAUGUAGAUGGGUAUCAAUUACAAGUUGCACUUGAGUCACACUACUACAAAGACUGCAAAGUUGACUGAAACUCGUAAUGUCAUUGGAGAUGACAACUACUAGAGCUUGAUACGAGAGAGACAUUAUUGACAUAUUGUAAACCAAACAAUAUUUGCAAAUUUAGUAGUUUUAGAAUUAUAUUUUUUUUUGGUAACUAUAUUAGAUUUGAUGUCACAAUUGAUUUAGAAAAUAAAUUGAGUCAUGUUGUUGUAUUAUAAUUAGAAUAACAUUUGUGAUUAUGUUUCUCUAUUUAAGAACUUGGAGUUCUAAGUUUGUAGUUGAGAGAAAUUAGUGAAUUGAAGUAGAAUAUUUUGUUUCCUCUUGUGCCUUUCUUACUUAUAAAAUUUUAAUAUUGCCUCCGCUGUAUGAUUUUUUGUGCAAACACCCUAGAUUUUUUUCUUUAAAGUACCUCCCGUUUCACCGAAAUUGGACCAAACGCUCAAGGGCUCCUCUUGUUGGCUGCACAACUUGCACUUUAUCCUUAGGUCGCGAUCCAAUUAAUAGUCUUUAACUGUUAACAAUAUGAUCAAAACAUAGUGCGGAGGAAUUAUUGGAAAUUGAAAAAUGAGGCGAUACUCUUUUAGCAUUACUACUUCUAUGCUGCUAGGAGGAGAAAGUAAAUAUUAGACCAAUUAUUAGUGUUUAUCAUAUCUAAGGGUGCAUUUGACAAAAUUGAAAUCGAAAAUUUGAAAUUUGAAAUCCGAAUCCGUUAAGUGAUUAAAUUGUUAAGUACUAAAUCUGAUACAUUUGAGUAUAUAUCACAUUAAGUGAUAAUUGAAUAGUUUAUCACUUUUUUUUUGGAGUAAACUUUCUCUAGAAAAUUUAGUGUUGCUUAAUUGAUUCAAAUGUUCUAUUUUUUAUUAUCAAAUAUGUCUAAACAUUUUAAGAUCUGAAUCCAUUAAAUUUAAGUACUGAAUUGGGAUAUCAAACAGGAUCUAAGUGUAAAAAUAAAUAAAUAAAACAAACAACUGGAGAAAAAGGAAAAUGAUUAGGUUCGGUUUAGAUUGCAAUUUUCUGAAAUUUUUGUAGAAAAUAUAUUGUAGCGAUUUGAUAUAUAUGAGAUAAAAAAAUGAUUGAAAAAUGUGUUCACUAAAAACGUAGAAAUUAUUUGAUAGAAAGUUGCUUUCCAAACAAGGUUAUUCUUGGCCUGGUCCCAGAAAAAUAAAAUCCAAACCAUUCAUCCACGUGGUAAAAAUGGCGAAAUUGGAUAGAUUAAUGUGAAGAUUUUUUGGAAUAUGCUUCUUAGAUGUGUCUAGACUCUGUAAUGACUUUUCAAAGCAAGUGGUCUUUUUUGGAAUACUUGGCCAUUUUUUAGAGAAUGCUAUUAGUCUUCGAAAUGGUUAUUGAGCUCCAACAUUUACAAAGGAGAAUAUGAUCUGCAUAAUUUUGAAGUUAUACCCUUGCGGUCCUUAACCGCAUAUUUGGUCAUCGGUCGAACAGGAAAAAGAAUCACCAGUUGGCGUCCUUGUUAAUUCCAGGACAAAACUGAUGAGAAUCAUACUUUUCUGAUCAAAGUUCAAACAAAAAAGAAGGUGCGUAGACACGAGCGAAACUGAUGUAAACCCGAUUUAAGUAUGCAUGCCUCAUAUGGCGAGGGAAAAUCCAUGGAAUUUUGAUUUUCUUUUUUGCUUAAAUGACUAAAAGUGUUCUAAAAUAUAAUUUUGAUUGCUAUUAUGGAUUAGUGGAUUUGAAAUUGAGGGAAUGAAUUUCAAAUGACAGAUUUGAAUUCCACAGAAUUUAAAUUACCUUGUUCACUUCAUAAUAACUUUAGACAAUUAACAAAAAAAAAAAAAAGACUUGGAGUACAAUCAAAAUAACUGACAAGUUCUAGGCUUAAAUAUUAAAAUUCCAUUUUUGUGCCUCCUUUAUCAACAUUAGUGUCAAAUUGAAUUGGUAUUUUUAGGAGUUUUGUAGAAAAAUAUAUCAUAACGAUUUGAUAUGUGUUAGGUAAAAAGUUGAUUAAAAUGCGUUCGUAAAAAACGUAAAAAUUUUUCUGUGAAAAAUCAGAAUCCAAACUGCCAUCUUCAGCAAAUCGGCACACAAUAACCGUUGUUUCUUCCCUCUAAUUUCUUCUUCAUUUUGGAGAUCCUUCUAUCAUUUUUAUUUGUAAGAAGGCAUUAGAAUUGUAAGACUUCAUUUUGUAAAUUAAAUCAUGGGGGCUGAAUUGAGAUUCUGAAAUACGGAGAGGACUACUUUGGCAAUGUUCGGUACAUCUUUUUCUUUAUAAUUAUAAUUAUUUUUCUUUUUUUGGGGGAAGGCGUUAUUCGACUCAUUUUGACUUUGUCCAAGUUUGUCCUUUUGUCCCAAGCAUUUUAUUGAGGUGUUGAUCCAUCGCCGCUAUUUCACAGUCACCGGAAAUCCUCACACCCCAUUUACCCCAAAUUGUGCAAAUUUCAAGCACUACCAAUAUUCAGCCCACAAAUUAAAGUAAAAACAUGGACAAAAGAGAAAGUGAGACUCUAUUGAAUCAAAUUAAAUGAGGAAAAGACUCUCAGACAAACCAUAACAAUUCAACAAAUCAAGAUUAGAUGGCUUCUUUGUAACUUGCCAUAACCACCAAUAGACACCCAUUCAUUCUAGUUAUAGACGAAGAUGCCGCAUUUGCAAAAGGGAAUAAUGCGCCAACUCAUUGCCCCAAAAACCAAAUCCUCGUGCCAUUAAAAUAUUGCUUCCUCACCAUCACUGUGGUUCUCCAAAUAACCCUCUAUCUCCUACCACUAAGAAAAGUAUCCAUUUGGAUUUUUAUUUUCUGGAGUUUCUGUAAAUAUAUAUAUAUAUAUUCUUGCGAUUUGAUAUGUGUGAGGUGAAAAGGUAAUUAGAAAAUGUAUUUAUGAAAAAUAUACAAAUAUUUUGGGAGAAAAUGUCUUUCCAAAAUAAAACUCAUUCACUUGUUAAUUUGGCUUGUUAUUUUCUAAAGAAAAGAAUUUUACGUUUUUCGUCAAUGCAUUUGUCAAUCACUUUUUUUUUAUAUAUCUUACAUGCAUCAAAUAGUUGUGACACAUUCUUUCUUUCUGGGAAGACUUCAAAAAAUAGCAAUCCAAAUGGGUUAAAAUCAACAAAAAUAAAAAAAUGUAAAUACAAAUUAACUACAUGUAAAUCCAUUCACCGUAUAAACACCGAAACACAAAUUAACUAAAAUCAAUGAAAAAUAGUAAAAGACAAUAAAAAUUAUAUGAUAAGACCUAAGAGUGAAUAUGUAACACAUGAAAAUGAAAGGGGGAAAAAAUAAUCAAUAAAUAAGUGCAAAUAAUAAAUACUAGAAAGGAAAGAAGGAGGUCGGUUCCUUGCACCCAACGUAUCUCUUGGUUUUGCCUCGGACUUUGGUUCGGAAUUUGCUCGUGUAUAUGACUUUGAAAGGAUAAGAACAACCCUACCCCCUCUACUCCCCACCUCCACCCCAUUCCCAUACCAGACCCCUUCCCUCCCUCUUUCUCUACAACUUUCUCUACAAGUACCCUCCUCCCUCUCUCCGCCUCCACUUUCUUAACCCCUCUCCUUAACCCAACAAUCUCUCUCUCUCUCUCUACACGAAAUCGCUCAAACACUUACACGCACAACACACACUAGAAUAAAAACAGCACUCCUCACCCAAGAGAAGUCCAUAAAUGCAUUCAGUAGAAGAAGAAAAUUAGUCCACUCUUCUUUAGACAUAUUGCAACUACUGGUAAGAAGAAGAAAAGAAACCUUGCUUAGGCAUUUGCUACAAAUCAUCGAAACUUUCAAGCUGGCGAUCGAAAAUCAAGAAUCAACUGUUCCCCGCGAAUUCAAGCCCAAAAACAGACGCAUCAUGGUAUUGCCAUUUUUCAAUACUAACUGAAUUUGUACAGCAAUCUUGGAGUUUUUUUUGAGAAAAUGGGAAUUUUGCUCUGUUUUUGGCUGACUUUUCUGGUCUUGGUUUCUGGUAGGGAGCUGGAGGGCCUGACGAGGAGGAUAACAGAUGGCCACCGUGGUUGAAGCCUUUGUUGAGGGAACACUUCUUUGUCCAAUGCAAAAUGCAUGCUGAUUCUCACAAGAGCGAAUGCAAUAUGUAUUGCUUGGACUGUAUGAAUGGGGCUCUCUGUUCUCUCUGUUUGGCCUCUCACAAGGACCAUCGCGCCAUUCAGGUUUGAUUUCAACGAUUUUUGGUGGAAUUUCUUUGGUUUUUCCUCCUUUUUUACCCAAUUUUGGCAUCUGGGCUUCUGCCAUUUUUGUCAAAGUUGCAGCUUUUUGUAUCAGUCCUCCUCUUUUUGCUACUAAUAGCAUUAGAAAGAAAAUUCCCAAAUCCUUCAAUUUCCACCUUUUUCUAGUAUUGUCCAAUUUCUUUACAAUAAUCUUUUAGCUUCAUUUCCGCAUCCCUUUUCAGUUUUUGAACCGUUGACUUCAGAAAUGGCAUUUUUGUAUUCAAUGUGUUGAGUCAUUUUUGUUUCACUGCUGAUGAAUGUAUCGAUUUGAAUCAGCCUAAAAGGGUUGAAUGUGUAUUGACGUCCGGUGCUGUUUUUGUGUGUUUUUUUUUUUUUGGCCUGAUGAUGAACAGAUAAGGAGGUCAUCCUACCAUGAUGUGAUCAGGGUGAAUGAGAUUCAAAAGUAUUUGGACAUCUCAUCGGUUCAAACCUACAUUAUCAACAGUGCCAAAGUCGUGUUCUUAAAUGAGAGGCCUCAGCCUAGGCCUGGCAAAGGCGUCACCAAUACUUGUGAAGUCUGUGAGAGAAGCCUUCUUGAUUCCUUCAGAUUCUGCUCUCUUGGCUGCAAGGUAAAUGUCCAUCAAUUUCCAUUGGAACCCAGGAUCCUUUUCCAUUAUUAAUGUCAUCCCAAAAGUUGAAUUGUUCCAAUCAAAUAUGGGUGUCUCUGAGAUCAAUGGGCAGAGUUUCUUGUAAAUUGUGAAAUUGAUGAAUGACAUUGGAGGCUAUUUUGGCAUUAACGCUAAAGUCAAGAUUUUUGGUAAUUUGUAAAGACCAAAAAGAAUUGAAUAGUAGUCAUUGUUUUGAUUAAUAUAAACUUGAUGGUUGGUUUUGAUUUUUUUCAGAUUGUGGGGACAUCCAAGAAUUUCCAGAAGAAGAAGAAGCAUUCCCCUGAGAAGAAAAGGGCGGCACUGAUGGCGGCAGCUUCUGAUUCUGAGGACUCCUAUAGCAGCAGCAGCCAUGGAGGAAGGCACAAGAGCCCGAGCAGUAGCAAUGGGAAGGUUCAGAGCUUUAGUCCAUCAACCCCACCUCCAACUGCUGUUAAUUACAGAACAGCCAAGAGAAGGAAGGGAAUUCCCCACAGAGCCCCAACUGGAGGAAUAGUUAUUGAAUAUUAGCCCCUGCUUAUAUGUCUUAAUUAGCUUAAUACCCCAACAACUUAUACUACACCUUAGAUAUCAGAAUGGUACUGGUCAGGAGGUCCAUUCCAAACAGCUAUAGUGCUUUUUCACCUCAAAAAGGCCAAUGUUUGGAGGAGUUCAGCUUACUCUUAUUGUACAUAGAAGCAGCCGCUAAUAGAAAUAUGGUGGAAGUAGAUGUGGGGGCGCAAGUGGGAAUAAGAACAAUGUGGAGGACUAAAGGGUGAAAACAGAAGUUAGAAGAACUUUUGGACUUAGAAAAUAAGCUAUUAUAGACUAUAGUUUGAAUAUGAAAUACAGUGGCUUUAAUUUAAGGGAGUGAUUAUAUUUUUUUUUUACAUUUUUUUUUUUAAUAUUUCUUAAUAGUUUAUGGUAAAGAUGUAAAUAUGGUUUUGUAGUAGGGUUAGCAAUGGGAUAACAAUGUACCCCUUGAAAAUACUUUUAUGCUGUUUAUAUAUGGAAUGGAAUAAUAUUUUAUAAUGUAAUUUUUUUUUUGAAGAAAAAAA